CAGAUUAAACCUGCAGCCAGUCUGAUAAAUCCUCAAAAUCCGCCACUGUUCAAACAAGUAGGGAUGGAAAAAUACUUCAAAGAUUUCUUCUCCCGUAAGCUGGAUGGAAAAUCAUAUUUAGAGCAUAUGAAGAUAAAAAAUGAGGAAGCAUAAAGUACCUGAAGUCCUGAUACAUGCAUAUGGUUAUGUUUAAGUAUGGUAUGGUUUGGCAGUUGCAUGGAUCCAAGAAAUAUUAUAGCUUUGAGGUUUGUAGUACUGUUCCUAUCUCAUUACGUACACUUAUCGAAUAAGUUCUGUAAAAUAAAGAUUCCCUGUAGCGGGUUGUUGUGAUGUUGUUUCCUUGUUAUUCAUAAAUAGUAUUGUAUAAAUAUACAAAGAGGGAAAAAACUUGUCAUGAUUAAAAAAGCUUGUUUCUACUAUUAUUUUGCAGGGGCGUUUAUGAUUAUUUUUAUUACCUUUUUAGUUGGUAAAUGACAAAUAUUGAAUGUAAAAGGUUGAAAAUUAAGGAUUACUCUUUAUCACAUCAAAUCAAUACUUUUCAUGAUAAAAAUAAAGAAUUAAUGAAAGGAAAAUAUUAACAUAUGGUGGUGGUGGCCCACCAAACAAAAUAUCUAGCACACCAAACAAAAUAUCUAAACGAUGAGAUUUAUAUCAUUAAAUAAAUAUAUAAAUAAAUUAAAUUAAUAUAUACAAUAUAAAUAAAUAAAAUUAAAAUACAGACCUAAAAAUAUAAUCAUAAUACCACUUAAUUAAUAGAACUUUUUUGAUAACUAUAAAAAAUAUACACAUCGGUAUUGCAACCAAAACUUUAUUAAAAUAAUAAUUAUUCUAUUAAUGAAAAUUAUUUGUUAUUUAUUUAUUUUUCCAAUAAAUAUAUAUGAUCAUUUUUUUUUCUUUUUUCCUUUUAUGAAAGUAAGAACAUUUAGAUUAUUCUUGUAACAAGUUAUUAGUAAACUUGGGACAUAUUAUUCCAUUUGUUAUUUAAGGAUCAUUCCAAAAUAAAAACAAUAGUCAAUUCACAAAAGAUAAGAUAUGAUAUUUGUCACAUCCAAAAUAAGAAAAAUGUGAGAAGAUAAGAAUUAAAUAAGAUAAGUGAGUGACAUUCAAUUCAAAAAAUUGUUUAGGUUGAUUGAAGCUAUUGAGAAACACUUGUCAUAUACGUAACCCUUUAAUUCUCUAUCUUAAUUAGGUUAAGUAGUUUUAUGCAUAAUAUGACUUGUCCCAAAUAGAUUCUACUUUCAAAGAUUGUUUUUGAUAAUUAUUUUUAUGAAUAUUUCCAAAUAAGUUAAGCUAAUCCUGGAUAUGAAAAUAAUCAACACUAACCUUUUAUUUAUUUAUUUAUUUAUUUUAUUUUUUUUGGAGAAUGGUAAAAAAUUUGUGUCAUGUCACAUAAACUCCGAACCCUUUAAUUAUAAAUCUUAAUUAGGCUAGUUGGCUUUAUGCUAGACCUAACAUUUGGUGCCCUUGCUGUGCAUAUAAACAUAAAAUAAGAAAAUCAUGAGAAAAUAAGGGAGAAGUGGCAUUCAAUCCAAAAUAACUCUUUAACCCAACUAAAGUCAUUACUUUCUUUUAUCAUAUGUCCAUAUAUAUAAACUCUAACCCCUAGUUAGGUUAGCUGACUUUAUCCAUGAUGGUCAUUUGGUCCCCCUUGAUGCAUUGACACGAUUUAUCAUGAUAAUAAAAGCUAGCCCUUGUUUGAUUUUGGAAAUGUUUAAGAAAAAAUAUCAGGGAAAAAAUAAAUAAGAAAAAUAGAAGAAAAAGGAAACCAAAAACAAAAAUAGCAAUAGUUAAUAAUUUAAAAUUAAUAAACUAUUUCUUUCUUGCUUAGUCUUCAAAAAUAUUUUACUUACUUUCCUUCUUUUAUUUAAAAAUUAAAUAGUUUAAUUAUAUUUUAAUACUAACUUGAAUAUGAAAAAAUUAUUAUUUUUAUAUUAUUUUUCUUUUCCUUAGAAUUUUAGGAAACUAAACAUAAGGAGAUUCAUAAAAUGAUUGAUUAAUUUCUUGUAAUUCUUAACAGAUUUAUGCCAAUUAAUUAGUUAUCAUUUGAUCAAUUAUUAUAAGGACAUUAUAUUUAACAAUUGCUAUUUUUUGAGUCCAAACCAGCAGGUCAAGGUAAGCCAGAUUCUGGACCAUUUUGUCUUAUUCUCAUCCCAUUUUCAUCACUUGAUGAUAAAAACGAUCUUAAUAAAGGUUUAUAGGCAUAUAAUUCAGAACAGCUUGUUUGAAUGGAUGUUAGAUGGAAGUUUGUCUUAAAGGUUUUUUAUGUUCUUAACAAAUUAUGUCAAUUUGGCUACCAUUUGUUCAGUUAGACCCAUUAUUUACAAGCACUUAAAUAAGGUUACUCAUUAUUUACCAGCAGGUCAAGAUAAACCAGAUAUUUUUAACCAUUUUGUCAAAUUUUUUUAACCCAUUUUCAUCACAUGAUUAAAAAGAGACUUGUUUGGACUUUUAAUAAAAGCUCUGUAAGGUUAUAUUUUAUAGCAACUUGUUUGAAUAGAUGUUCAAGGAAGGCAAAUACAUUGAUCUAGUUGGUGAGAAGUUGGACUAAAUUGUUCUUUAAAUGUCUGAUGCUAGUGGAGAAAGAGCGCUCCUGAUAGAUGCAAAUGUAUAGAUGUUGAAAUAAAUCUCGUUAUGAUUUGAUAUCAUAUAUUGUUUGAUGAUAAAGGUAAAUAUUACAUCUUAAACUUGAUUUCACCAUUAAAUGUAUUUUUCAUCUAGUCAAUUGUGUAUUAUAUUGUGUACACUUGAUUUAUUUAAUUAUUUUUAUAAUUAAAUAAAAAUAAUUUAAUUUAAGUAUUUUUUUCAUUUUCCUAUUUUUAAUAUAAAAAAGGAAAUUCAUUUAUAAAUUAUAAAUUAUAUUUUAUUUAUAAGUUAGAUUUGUUUAAAAUAUAAUUUAAAUUUUAAAAAAUGAAAUUUGAAAAACAUAGAGGGUGUAAUAGGUAUGAAAAAAUUCUCAUGUUCAUUUGCUCCAAACUUGUCCCACAUAGAAUUUUUUUUUCCUUUUGGAUAGAGAACAAAAUAAAAUAAAAUAAUCAUGAUAGGUUGAAAUAAGAAUCACCUCUAGAAUCGACUCCCCUUAUUAUACCUAAUUAACCAUAAAAGAAAAAUGUCUAUUUAUAAAUGUGUUGGUUAAUUCAUAUAACACGAUCUACUUAUCCUUUAUUUAAUUAAACUUACGCAUAUGUGGUAUUAGAAAAAAGAGUUUGAUAGAGGAAAAUAAGACUAGGCAUAAAAUAAGAGAAAUACAAAAGGAUAUUUUUGAAAGAUACGGCAUUAGUUUUGUAAAUAUUUUCAAACACUCUUUUUAUAAAGCUAUAUAUAGUCAAAGGACCUGUUUUUAGAAAAAUUUAUAACACCACCUUUCUGCUUGACACAAGAAAGAAACAAGUGUAAAAGUGCUUAAUUGGUAUGAAAAGGGUAGGUUUAUUUCACUUCUUGUCCACUUUGGACUAGUCAAGUUUGAGUCAGUAUUAGUCAAGUUAGUAUUAGUCAAGUUUUGAAAUAAGCGUGUUUGAAAAUCAUUCCCCCUAGACAUCUUGGAUUUUGUUUUUAGUGAUGCAAAUCAGCAAGUGGUCCAUUUUGCAUCAUCCGACAAAUAUGAACUACUUUCUCCCUAAUCCCAUUUACUAAUCCCUUUAUUAAGAAAUAUAAUUGAUUAAUCUGAGUAAAACAAAGGGUGGACCCAAACCUUUUGUGGGCACUAUUACAAAUAGGAAAAUAUUAUGAAAUAGUCAUAAAUGAAGGUUUCUUCGGUUAGGUCCAUUAACAAAAAUUUAUUUGGGAAAUGGUCUAAAAUUUUUUGUGGCAAAUAAUGUUUUUUUUUUAAUGCAAAAUUAAUUACCAAUCAUUUGCAAUUAGCUAUUGAGAAAAAAAAAAAAAAAAAAGGUGUUUUUUCACCACCCUCAAAUAUUUCUAAGAUAUCAACAUCGAGUUACAUUAAUUAACAUUAACUUAUUUUUCAAUGCAUAAUAAUCACCUUAAUUAGUGUAGAUGAAACCCUAACUUGAAAAACAUUUUUUUUGUUAAUCUUAAGAUUCUAAACUAACCCCGAGGGCAUCAUAUAUCUUUUGUUUAUGAUAUUUAUUUUCAUAUAUAUUUUAUUGGCUUAUUUGAUUAAAAGGGCCUCUCAAAACUCAAUUUUUUAAAUUUAAUCUCUCACCAUUUUUUGGCAUUAUUUGGUUAAAAAUGUCAUCAUUAUUUUGUUGUGAAUAAAAUAUUUCUCUUAAAAUCUGCAUGUAAAAGUUGAAAUAGAAAAUGACAUUUGUGUAAAAAAUAAGUUACUUUUCUAUAAAUAAAAAAAACAUGAAAAUUAUUAAAAAUUUUAUUUGGGGAUUAUUUCAUCAUUUUAACCAAAUAUUUCAUUUUUAUCUCUCAUGGCUAGUCUCUAUAUAUACUCACAAUUAUUUUUUAUUACAAUAUUACAAUAUUACAACAACUCGCUACAGGGAAUCCUUAUUUUACAGAAAUUGUUUGACAAGUGUACGUAAUAAGAUAGUAAUAGUACUACCGAUCUCAAAGCUAUAAUCUUUCUAGGAUCCAUGCAAUUGCCAACCAGAGCAUACCAUAAUUAAACAUAAACAUAUACAUGUAGUCAGACUUCAGGUACUGUAAUCUUCCUCAUUUUUGAUCUUCAUAUGCUCUAGAUACAAUUUUCCAUCCAGCUUACGGGAGAAGAAAUCUUUGAAGUAUUUUUCCAUGCCUACUUGUUUGAACAGUGGCGGAUUUUGAGGAUUUAUCAGGCUGGGUGCAGGUUUAAUCUGAGCUGAGAAUUUGGGAUUGAAGAACAUGGCAAUGGAGAUCCUCUCUUUUGCCGCAUUUACUGUUGCCCGGUGCUCUAUGCUGGUGUAUACCCCGUUGCUCAGAAUCUGCAAAAUAGGAAGACACGGCAGUUGGUAAAAAAGGGGGCAUUUUUCCUCAAGUACUAGUCAUUAUUCGGUGUUGUGUGUGUUCUAUUCUUUUUCUACCCCUGUAUUGUACUUUAGGUUUGAAUGAAUAUUAAAGAGAAACACAUGCCAGUGCCUGUAAUCUCAAAGUGACAGCUCCACUAGUGCAUAAAACCAUGAAGCGUGGGGCUGCAAAUGAUAUUUAAUUAAAACACAAAAGAUUUAAGUUUGAAAAUGGUAGCUAGGGUUUCGAAAAUAUAGAGCGGAUUCCAUUUAGCAUUUUCUAUUUUAUUUUAUUUUAUUUUAUUUUGAAAGAGAGAAAGGAGUCUGUGGGGAAACCUCGAGAACGUCUCCUACAUUCACAACAAGAGCAUCUGGAAGGAAGCUCACAGGAAUCCAAACCCCAUCCUUUUUAAUUUGGAGACCAUCCACUCCAUUAAUUUGGAGAAGGAUGGUGAUGCCGGUUGCAUCAGAGUGAGGCGUAAGCCCCAUAACCAGCUCUGGUUGUGGGCAUGGAGGAUAGUAACUCAUCCUCACUGAUUGCAUCCCAUCCUCAAACAACUCUUCCAUCUCUCCUUUCUCCAACUUUAGAGCUUUGGCCAUAAAUCCUAGAAGCAUCAUCGCUAGUUUCUGCAGCUCCGCUAAGUAACAUUCCAAGCUAUCCCUGCAGUUAAAGAAGAAAACAUGUAUAAAGCUAUAAGAAGAAGAAGAAGAAGAAGAAGAAGACGAAGAAGAUGAUGAUGAGAGAGAACCUUAGCGAUGAAGGGAGUUCUGGUAAUAGAUACGGCUUCCUUGUAUGUAUAGGGUUGGUUAUCAUAUAAAACCUAUCAGCCCAGUCAAGUUUUUGAUCUUCUGACCGGAUUGGAAGAUGCCCGUACCCUUCAACAUCACCGGGCCUCAUCUUGUAUUUCAUUCUCUCUUCCAAGGGAAGUUUGUAAAAUUCUCCGAUCUCCGAUUUCAGUUUCUCCACAAGUGAAGAGUUGACUCCAUGGUUCACCAACUAUGCAUCCAUGAACACACAUGUUAGUUUCUGUAUUGUUAUUUGUUAUUAUUUUUUUUCAUAUUGGUUUUGGUUUAAUAUCUAUAUAUAUGUCAUGCAAGUAGCAAACGGAUUACAAGGGUCUACUUUAUACAAAAUUGCAAGGGAUAUAAUAUGAGCCAAAUCAUUCAUUUCUGAGUAAUUUUGUCAGUCGCCUCACAUGGUCCUCUUCAUUUGCCUGGACACAACAAAACAGCCCCUAAAGUUCAAGUGCAAUACAGAAAAAAUGAUUAGAGAUUAUGGAUGUUGAGAGAAACCUGAAAGAAACCCCAUUCUUUGCAUGUUGAGUGCAACUUCUCCAGCUCAGAACCUGCGGUUUCACUCAUAAUUAAAUGUUUCAUGUCAAUGGUGGGGAGUAGUGGCAGGGGAGUGUUGGCUGAGAGAAUUGGAGGCUGAGGAUCAUCCAGGAUAAAUGGCUGUGGGACUGCAGGGAUGGGCUCUUUGAUGAGCUCCUGAAUACUUUGAAUAGGAGCAGCACGAAAGCUUGAAGAUUGUGUCGAUGCCAUUGCUAAUUAAUUGGCCUAAUUUCAGUGACCAAUUGAACCAUCUGGAGGUGGGUAUUUAUAAUGCAAAUAUACUUGAGGAAGACGAAAAAGAAAAAGGAAAAAAAAAAAAAGGGGGCAGCACAAGCAACAACUGAACCGUGUCAAACCAUUGUUAUUCACGUUACAACUGGUAAGCCAGCACCCCAGAAUAUUUCUAGAAGUAUAAGGUGUUGUUUGAAUGUAUAUAUUUAGUACUUCCAAUUAAAAAUAGAAAUACAAAAGCUUUUUAAACUUGCCUUAAAAAUGUCAUAUCUUUUAAAAAAUUUUAAACAUAAAAAAAAAAUUAUUCUCUCAAAUUUUAAACAAUCUUUAAGAAUUUAAGUUCGUACUUACUAUAAAAAAAGAUACUCCACAAAGAUGGUAUUAAUUAUUUUCUAUUCAAACCAACAUUCCAGCUCAUUGUUUCUGCCCAUCUACGAUCCAUGAAGAUGGUUCGGUGCUCAAGAAUUUUUUUUUCCUUGACUGUAAACCACGUUAAGUGACAGCUCUUCUUGGAGCUUUUCUUAGAUGCCCUUAUGACAAAUGCAAUGCCCAUGUUUCAAGAAGUAAACAAUGUGAACAGCUUGUACCAACAUGCUAGUCCUUUUUUAUUUAGCAAAUAUAGAUAUUAAUGAAUAUCUAGUUGUUUUUUAACAAAUCAAAAGCAAAUGGCAGAUAAUUUUCAACCAAUGACAUACCAAAACCUUGGACAGGUCUUGGUUGUAUGAUGGAUAGAUGCCGUUUUCUCUUAUUUAAGUGUUGGUUGAGGCAAAAAUUUUCUAAGCUUCUUCAGUAUAUAAACGUGUCUAAUUUAUAAAUUUAUCACCAAAACAUGUGGGAGGUUUUGACUAAAUAAAAAAAAUAGCCUUGACUUAAUUUGCAAGGUCCUAUAAUAAAUCCUUGACUGGUUGAUCGAUCUAGGCCGUAUUUUUGAACUAUAAAGGAACCUAAAUGGAGUGGAAGAAUUUUAAACUAGGGAACACCUCUAGAAUGUCUCCCACAUUCACGACAAAUGCACUUGAGAGAAAGUUCACAGGCAUCCAAACCCAUCUUUUUUUUUUUUCUAUUUGAAAACCAUCCACACCCCAUUAGCUUGGAGAAGGAUGGUAUUCCGGGGACAUCGGAGUGAGGCGUAAGGCCCAUGACCAGCUCUUGUUAUGGGCAUGGAGGAUAAGUCAUCAUCACUUACAGCAUCCCAUAUUCCCAACAUCAAAUCAACAACCCUUCCAUCCGUCUCUUGUCCAAAUUUAGAGCUUUGACCAUAAACCCUACAAGCGUCAACGCAAAGUUCCUGCAACUACGAUAAGUAACAGUCAUGUAUCCCUGCAAUCAAGAGAAGAAAACGUAAAUUAAAUGAUCGAAAAAGUAUGAAGAAAAGAUCAUGAUAAUGAUGAUGAGAGAACCUCAGUGAUAAUGGGAGGGAGCUUUGGCGAUAAAUAUGGUUUCCUUCUAUGGAUAGGGUUGGCUAUCAUAUAAAAUAUAUCACCCCAGUCAAGUUUUCCAUCUUGUCAUCGGAUUAGGGACAUUCCAUAUCUUCAACAUCUCCUGGCCUCAUCUUGUAUUUUCCAAAAGUCCUUUAGAUUAAAUAAUAUUAAUUUUUAUUAUUUUUUUCCUGGUACACUUUACGAUAACCAUGUUGCCGGCCAUGGCACAACUGAAAUAUGAAGGUCCAUUUGGCCAUAAUUUAAGUUUACUCUAUAAAAAAUUUGCGUGGAUUCAGGAAACCUGGCCACGUUUGAGAAUUGUUUUUUAAAACAACUUUCUUUAUCUUGAAAAUAAAAUAAUAGAAAAGCAUGGCUGACAAAUGGGGUUAAUUUUAUCAUCCAAAAUAAAAUUUGCUACUCCAUUUGAACACACAAGAAAAUUUACAAGGUCGAAGUACAUUAUUAACUUCCACUGUGUUAAAACAAUGGGUUUAUAAGGUUUCUCUCUAGAUAAAGCUAGAGGCUCAUAAUUAUUCUUGACUAACAAUAAUUCUCAUCAUCAAUAAAGAUUGAUAUUUCAAUAUUACACUGAGUGGGUAUUUUGGAAGAACACCUUAGAGAGAUCAAAUGAGGAAUUAAACCCAAUAUAAACAAAAAGCUCAUUGCAAGAUUCAUCAAAUCAAAUUUAGGCUAAAAUCAAUGCAUCUCGCACUCCUAAUUUUUAUUUAUUUAUUUGUUUUUUUUUAAAGCAAUUGGGAUAAAGUCAAUUCAUUGAUACGUUCAACCCACACAUGGGGUAGACAACCCAACAUCAAAAAUACCUUUCAAACAGACUUAACUCUUUAAUUUUCUUCAACAUUAAAUGCCCUUUAACAAAUAUUUAGAGUGAAUUUGCAUAGUAGUUAUAAUAUUUCAUUUCCAACAACAAAUUAACCAUGUAUACAAAAUACUAAUUCUAUUUAGGAUAAGUCUUUUUGGCUCCUUUAAUUUUGAAACCUAAAUAUACAAUGAAAGUUCCUAAAUAGUGGUUCAUGGGGAAGGAGCAUAAAUACUAAUUUUAGUUGGCAAGAUGGAGACUAAUGAGCAUUCCUUUUUGGCAAAUGAAAAGGAAAUGAAAGGGAUUAUAAAAUUACGCAUCAAACAUAUGAAAGUGAGAGCUUGACGGAAGUACUCCUCAGGGACACAGCCACUUGGGCUAACGAAAAAUAUUAAAACCAUGGCGGUCAAGGGAAGUUAUGUUUCAUUAAAAGUAAUAUAUAUGGCAUCGCUUGAACAGGUCUUGAUUGUAUAAUGGAUGAUGGAUGUCGUUUUCUUCUACUUCCGUGUUACUCAAGGCAUGAAUUUUUUAAGCUUCUUUUGUAGCAACGUGCUUUAUUACCAAUUACUUUAUGCACAAAAGAAGAACCAUGAGGUUUCACUAAUUAAAAAUAGGUAUAUUUUAUAUGAAUUCCUGACUGAGACAGGCCAUCCUGCAGGGGACACAUUUAAAAUCCACUUAAAUAAUAAAUCGUCAUCAGUGAUGACAGGUUCCAGACUGGAAAUCCACCAAAAGGAUUUGUUUGGAUAAUACUAUUAUUUACAAGUUUUCAAUCAGACGAGCACAUCUUGCAGGCAUUAAUCCCAUACAUGGGUGUAGGUUCAGUCGAAUCAAAAAAAUUAGCUUCCUCUUGAAAGCAAGACAACUGUAAAAAUCAAUCUAAAUUCUCCUAUUGGAUUGAUUUAGGGUGGGAAGUGCAAUGAGGUUUUUAAAAACCAUUUUCUCCAAAAGCUAUUCUUGAAAAUAUAAACCCAUUUUAUAACUUACAUACAGUUGAAAAAAAAAAGAAAUAAAGAAAGAAAGAAAAAAAAGAAGAGAUUUUUGAAAUUUUAUUUAAAAUCUUUAUUUAUUUAUUUAUAAAUUAAGAGUAUUAUGAAUUAUGAAUAAUAAUUAAAUUUAAAACUACAUUUUGCUGACAAAAAGUAUCAAUCAACAAAAAUAGAAAGAGAUUUAAGAUCUCUAAUUUAAUUUAGGGGAAAUCAUCUAAUUAUACACCAACUAUAAAAAAUAUGAUAUUUUGGAACUUUACUUUUUUCUUUUUAAUUUUGGUGUAAAAUACUUGUACCUUGGUUCCUGAAAUUUGCUUUAGUAUCAUCAAUAAAAUCGUUAGUCUUUUGUAUAAAUUGGGUGAAAACUUCUUCCAAGUUUGACUUCUUCUCUUGAGAUUGGAAAUUGGAGGGUGGUUUUUGCACAUUAGCAUUGUUACUCCAUGAGAAGUUUGAAUGAUUCUUCCACCCUUGGUUGAAAUAAUUGGAGUUGGGAUUGUAUUGACGUUGAUUAUUGGCCACAGAUUUCACUUGUUUGGAUGUAUUUGCUUCAUAUGGGCCUCCAGCUUGACACUUCAAGCUAGGAUGGUUACCUGCACAAUUUUCAUAGACUACAUUAGAAACUGCAACAACAUUUAUUUUCUUAAAAUUAUUAUUUAAAUUUGCAACUUGAGCAGCCAAAUCAUUAAAAACAUCAAUAUCAUGAACCUCGACUGUCUUCUUUUGUGCAUUUAUAUCCGUAGACUUCAAGAAAUUGUUGCUAGCCAUCACUUCUAUAAGUUGAUGUCCCUCCUCUUGUGUCUUAUUAAUAAAAACUCAUCCGCUUGUUGCAUCCACCAUGGUUUGAGUAUUAUGAUGCAAACUAUUGUAGAACGUUUGCACUUGCAUCCACAUUGGUAGGCCAUGGUGUGGACACUUUCUUAAAAGAUCCUUGAACCUCUCCCAAGUUUCAUAAAGAGACUCUUGAUCUUGUUGUAAAAAGUUAGUUAUAUCAUUCUUCAUCCUUGUAGAUUUUACCGAUGGGAAGUAUUUAGUAAGAAAAGUGUUAACCGGUCCAUCCCAUGUAGUGAUUAUCCCAGGAGGUAAUGAAGUCAACCGUGCCUUAGACUUGUUAUUUUGAGAGAAGGGAAACAAUUGAAGUCUUAUUGCAUCAUCAGUCACACCAUUAUGCUUGAAGGUAUUACAAAUUUCUAAGAAAUUUGCAAUAUGUAGAUUAGGAUCAUCAUUGGCCAAUCCUCCAAAUUGUAUCGAAGAUUGAAUCAUUUAAAUAAUUGCUGGUUUGAUCUCAAAAUUGUUAGCUUGGAUGAGUGGCCUUCGAAUGCUUGAGACACCCACAGUAGGAAUAGAAUAAUCAUUGAGUGCCCUAUUUGGGACUCCAUUAUCAUUGUGAUUCUCAUCCCCCCAUUGUAAGAACCUCUUGAAUUACUUGUUGCUUGCGUUUCCGAUUUAGCUUUCACAGUGUUUUGUUGAUAUCAAGGUCGAUUGGUACUAAGUCCAAACUCCUUGUAUGUUCUCAUACACUAAGAAAACCUAAAAAGAAAAAAACAAUUAAGUAAGAAUAAAAAUAAAAUAAAUCAAAUUAGCAUAAAAAUAACUAGUAUUAAUAUUAGUAACAAAUAGUCCCUGAUAGCAGCGUCAAAAACUUGAUGUGCAAUUUCGCAAGUAUACAAAUCAUUUAAGUAAUAUAAUUGUACCUAAGUACGGAUAUCAAACCCACAAAGAUUAUGAUACUAAUUACUAAAAUUUAUUAUCUCUACUACUAAUUGAUUAACUGAAUUUUCAAAGAUGCAGAAGAAAGUAAAUUAAACAAUUAAAGAAAAUAAAUUCAAAUUCUUAUGAUUUAAACGAUCUAGGGCUUUUGAUUUCACUACAAACACUUUCAUAUAAUUGAUUACUUAAACUAAUUUCUAUUAUGCUUUAUUUGGAGAUUUAAAUAUCAAAAAGAUAAAAAGAUUUAAAUAUGCGAUAAUUUAUAGAAAGAGUUGAAAACAUAGAAAUUAUAAAAGAUUACUUAGUAUUAUAUUAUGAAUUUUUAUUUAUUAUUAUUUUUAUUUCAUCAAUUAUUUAUUUAUAUUUCAUUUGGCUCAUAAUUUUUCUUUUUAAAUUAUUAUCUUAUAAAUUUAGUAAGAUUUAUGAAUUCACUCUAACUCUUCUAAUACUAAGGGGAUAAACCAUGAAUUAUUUUCAAAGGGUUUUUAGCAAUUCCUAUGCUAACUGGGGAUAGUGGCUAUGGCUUAGAAGCAUUUUUGGGAAAGGGAGAAGCCAGUGUUCAUUGACAUUUGACACCUUAAUCUUUAGGCUACGAGGAGAGAAGAUUGACAAGUAAAGAAAGAGGAAGUUUAACAGGGAAAACUGUAAUUUCAUGGGCUCAUUUGAAAAUAUUCAUAAGAUACAAUCCUUUAAAAGUCAUCCCAAGUCUUUUGUACUCUAAAAUAAGGAUAGUACUUCAAACACUCAAAAUAUUAACUUUAAAUAAAAAGUGCAUAAAUUUUUAAUUGUUUUUAAAUAAAUUUAUUUAUUUUUUUCAUGUGGGUAUAAAACCACACAUUUUUUCAUAAUAAUAAUAAUUAUAGUUUUUUUUUAUAAUAAUAAUAAUAAUAAUUUUUGCAAUCUUCUCUAUGGAGGCUUCCUCUAACUCUAAUUCUUCUAAUACUAAGGGGAUAAACCAUGAAUUAUUUUCAAAGGGUUAUUUAUUAUUAUUAUUAAUAUUUCAAAAGAGUGUAUCCCUUUAUUUAUUCGGAUUCUAUCGGGACUGACAGAUGAUGCAGGCAGAUUCCAUCUCAGCACUUCAAGUAAUAAUAAAAACGUGAUAAUUUAGUGGAAAAGAGGCAGACAAUUAGUCAGCAUAAUCCAUCCAAAAAUUAUUGAGCCCGAAAAUAGUAACCAUUGAUUUCCCUGUCACAAGUGUCAUACUGACAUGAAUUUUGAGCUUAUCUUAAUUUGGUCUUGCCGGUAUACAUCCGUGAUGGGUGCAUUAUUGACUUGACUAGCAAGCCCACUGGACCACUCCAUUUCUAUGAUUUAAAAAUCCAAGGAGGUUCUAGACGAAUCCCAAAGUUCUUUUUGGGUGGACAAAAACCUCAAAUUAUUUAUCGAGGGUCCCAAAAGAAUAUAUACAUCAUGAUAAGUAUGAUAAUGUUUCCUGUUCUCCUAAGCAUUAAUUUACUUAUUUUUUUUAAAGAUAUAUCUAUUUUUUAUGAAAUUAAUAUAAAAUGUUAAAUAUAAUUUUUUAUGAAAAAUAUAUUUUCUUUUAUAUUUUAUUUUAAUUAAAAAUUAAAGAUUUUAACAAAAAAAAAAUAGAUCCAUAAUCAAUUUAAAAUUAUAAGAAAAAUGAUAAAAACAUCAUCACUUAUUGUGAUUUUGAUAUGAUAAAUUUAAAAUUAAAAUUAAAAUAAAAUUAAUGUAAAUAAUAAAAUAGUAUUACAAAGAUAUUUUUACUUUUACAUGUGAUAUAAUUUACAAAAUAAAUAAAUCUUUUGUUUAGUAUUAAUAUAAAAAAUCUUAUAUCAUAAAUUUCUAAAUAAUAAAAUAGAAAAUUUAAAUUUAAACCUUAAUUUAUAAAAUGUAUUAUUAUAAUUAAUAUUUAAAAUCAUAGAAUAUAUUAUUUGUGGGAUAAUAUUUUCAUUUUUGUCCAUUAUAUUUUUUGUUUUUAUUUAAUUUGUUAUAUUAAUUAUUUAUUAUAUAUUAUCAUUUUAAGUUUAAUAUAUCAAAAAAAAAUUAAAAUCAAUAAAUAUAGACAAAUUAGAUAGUAAAAAUAAAUCAAAAUUAAAGAAGUUUUAUGAGAAAAUGCACAAGCAUAUUAAAAAGAAUAUAAAGAAAAAAGGAAAAAUAAUAAUAAAAACUAUAAUAGUUGACAAUGAAUUACGAUGGUAGGAGAGGAAAAAAAAAAGAAAAAAAAAGUGGAAACAUGGCAAAUAGUAAGAGAGAUAUAUUGAUGUGAGAAAAAUAAUAAAAAUAAAUUACAUAUGUACUUGUUAACAGAUGAUAUUAAAUUAGUGUGUAUUUUGUCCUUUACUUUUGAUGGUAAUUAUGAAACAAAUUUGAAAGCACUGUUGGAGUGCAUGAAUCGAUAAUAUUUUUUCCAAUUUUAUACCAAAAUUUAAAAGAAAAUAGUAAAAUUUUAAAAUCUCAUAUUUUUUAUAGUUGGUGUAUGGUUAGAUGAUUUUCCCUUUAAUUUACAAUAGAUAUAAAAUAUAAUAAAAAAUUAAAUUAUUUUACUAGUAGGAUUACUAAUUUUUGGAUGAAUAAAAAUUUAUUGAUUCAUUGACAAAUAAAUAAUUUAUCUAUUUGGAAAGAGCAUUAUAUUUCUAUUAUUUGUGUGACUUAUCAAUCCAAAAAUAAUAUAAGUGGUAAAAAAUUAAUACAUAAAAACCUAAAAUACUCUUAAAAAAUACUUAUUAAUUAUAAAAAUAAUAAAACUAUUGAGACAGACAAUUAGUCAGCAUAAUCCAUCAUUCAGCACCUUAAGUAAUAAUAAAAACGUGAUAUUUUAGUGGAAAAGAGACAGACAAUUAGUCAGCAUAAUCCAUCCAAAAACUAUUGAGCCCGAAGAUGGUAACCAUUGAUUUCCUUGUCAAAAGUGUCAUGCUGGCAUGAAUUUUGAGCCUAUCUUAAUUUGGUCUUGCCGAUAUCUAUCCCCGUGAUGGGUGCAUUAUUGACUUGACUAGCAAGCCCACUGGACCACUCCAUUUCUAUGAUUUAAAAAUCAAAGGAGGUUCCUAAACUGACUGGCUUGUUACUAAUUCUGUAUUUUCUUAUCAGAUUCUAAUUAAUUAGAUUAUUGUGGAUAGCAUUUGGCCACCAACAACAUCUCUCCAGACACUUAACCUUGCUUUCUUUGUCCAAUUCCUGAUUAGUCAAGCAACCCAGAUUUUCAAACAUUAAUUUUUUUGUGAAUCACAUCUCUUUUCCCCACGUGAUUGAAAAUGGCCUUGUUUGGAAUUUAGAAAGGGAUUGAAGGGAUAUAUAUAUAUAUAAAAGAUGAUUGAGUUAGAAGUCAAGAAUUUGGUUUUUUUUUUCCAAGUUAGGUUUAUUGUCUUACCUUACUCCACCAGUUUGGAUUAUAAAAAUGGUUAAAUAAAAAUUAAUUUAAUUGUUUGUUUUUCUAUUUUUAAUACAAAUAAAUAAAUAAAAUUUAUUUCUAAAUUAUAUUUUAUUUAUAAGUAAUACAUAUUUUUAAUAUAAUUUUUUUAAAAAAAUUAUUGAUAAACAAAGGAGGGAGGGGGUGGAAACUUCCUUUGCUUUUUUAUUUUGAUUUUUCUCUAUCUAAAAAAAGAUAAAAAUAAAUGUAAAUAAUCAAGACAAAUUGGGAUAAUAGUAACUUCUCAAACCUACUUUUGCUAUUAUUCCCUAGUUAAUCUUGAAGGAAAAACAUCGCUAUCAUCCCUAGUUAAUCUUGAAGGAAAAGCAUCUAUAUAUAUCUUAUAUUGGAUUAAUUCAUAUAGAAGGAUAAAAAUGAUUCUUACAUGAUUUAGUUGUCCUACGUUUAAUCAAACUUACAUUCGUGUGGUACUAAAAUCCUUCAUUUAAUCAAACUUAUAUGUGUGGUAUCAAAGAAAACUUGAUUGAAAAAAAUAAGACUAACCAUAAAAUAAGAGAAUUAUAAAUGAAAAUGAUGUUUUUAAUUUAUUUGUUUCAGAGUAGUUGUGAAAAUGUUUUUCUCCAUAUGAAGCACAAAAAAACAUUUAUGACACCAUGUGACAAGAAAAAAAUGCGUGCUAAAGUGUUUAAAAGGGUAGGUUUAUUUCACUUCAUUUCUAUCGAAACUUUGGGUCAUAGUAAGUGUUGAAAUAAGUGUAUUUUUGAAAAUCAUUUUAUUUGACAUCUUCUAUUAGAGGUAUCUUUUUUCAAGAGUGAGAGUCUAUUUAACAAUGCUUUUUAAAAAAAUAUUUUUUUAUUAUAAAACAUGUUUUUAAAGAAAAAUUAGACAUUUGAUAAAAUUUAAAUAAUAUUUAAAAAAAAUUAUAAAAUCAUUUUCUUAAAAGUCAUUUUACAUAUGAUUCUUUAAAAAGCAUUUUCGCUGAAAACACAUCAAAUAAAAAUAUUAUCCAAUGUACCUAGCCGUACUUGCUAUUGGAGGGAUGGAUAAUCUACCAAUGCAUAUGACAUUUUACGAUUUGUCCAAUUCAACUUGUGAUCUAUUUUGAGACAUUUGACAAAUAUGAACGUUUUUACCUAAUCUCAUUUACUAAUCGCUUUAUUGGCUUGGCCUUUAACCAGUUGCGUAUGUGUAUAAAGGUGUGUAAAUUAAUUUCAAUCAAAACCAAAUUAAUUUAAUUGAUGUUAACUUAUUUUUCAAUACAUAAUACCCAUCUUAAUUAGUGUAGAUGAAACUCUAGGAUGGAAAACCUUUUUUUUUUUUUGGCUAAUUUGAAGAUUCUACUCUAAGCUCGAGAGUAUCAUAUAUCUUUCCUAAAUCAUCUUCAUCUUCAUUUUCAUAAAUAUUUUUUAUUUCUCAUAUGCUCAAACUCACAAAAUCUUUUAUUUUUUUAAUUUUUGAAAACCAUCUAUCUCUUCUCAAUUUUGGCUUUUUAAAAUCUCAUCUAAUAUAUCUUCUCAUCUUGAGUUAUAUCUCACCCACAUUUUUUCUUUUCUUAACUUUUAUGUGAAAAAUUAUCAUUUCAUAAAAUCCCCAAAAGGCCCAAUCCUUUGUUAGGGUCACAAAGUUUAAAAUGAUUAACACAACAUGAUUAGAAUCCAACUGUUCCUUUAUAAAUUUGGGUUGAAUAUAUAUAUAUAUAUAUAUAUUCAUAUUUAGAGUAAAUUCAUGUCAAUAUAUAUUACUUGUUUGAUAAAUAUGUUAUUCUAUAUCUUUGACCAACUUGUAUAACAUAAAUUUGAUUUAAAUUGAUAUAUGUGAUAAUAGUGAUAAUACUUUUAACCUAUUUAAUUCAUUAAAAAUUUGAUUUUGAAUAAACAAGUUAAAGUAAAAUCGUAAGGUUAAUUAUAUAAACUCAUACAAGAUUUAAUUUUAUUUGAUUAUUAAACAAUACCUAAUCAUGAAAUAGGUUAAAUAGAUUAUAAAAUGUAUUAUUGGUUUAAAACUUAAAUACAAUAUGAAAAUGAUGCAUCAACACCAUUUGUCACCCCUUUCAUUAAUUUAUCAUCAGUGCGUCACCUCUUCCAUCAAUACCAUUCUCUUCUAUUCUUCCCAGAAAAAAUAAUUACAAAAGCUAAUUACAAAAUAAUUACACCAAGGUUAUUUCUGAUAGGGACAUGCAUCCUUAAGGGCAUUGUCCCACCGUGCCUACCAUUGGCAUAAAAGCAGUUCUCGACACCAUCUCCGACCUCAAAAUGUUCAUUUUGAACACCAUAAAAGCGGGCUUCAAUGUAUGUUUUAAAUGAGGGAUUGAGAAUUGCUUCACAUGGGAAACCAUUUGAAAAUUAAUAGGAUAUUGAGAAUCAUAUUCACUUUUAUUAAUUAACAAAUCAAUUUCCAAAAAUUAUGUUCAACUCUUUAAUUUCAUUCAUUUUACCUAUCAUGUUCUUCAAGUAACUGUGCUUGUUCUUCCUUCACUCUCUUUCAUUUUAAUUUUUGUUAUUGAUUAUUCAAUAGUGUUGCUAACCCAUCAUAUUUUUGUUGCCUUUUUAUAUUUAAAAAGUGAUUUAACAAUGACUCUCAAAAGUGACAUCAUGAGUUAACACGUUUCAAUCAUAAGACGGAAUGACUUUUGAGAAGUAAAAAACUUUAUUUUAUUUUAUUUAUUUAUUUAUAUUUUUAAAGAUGAAUAUUUUUUUUAUAUUUAUCUAAUUAAUUUUAUUUAAAGAGUUUAUAACUUAAAAACAUCUCAAUAUAAAAGUUAGAAAAAUAUUACAUCUUAACAAAGCUUUAUCUUGAUUUAUGUAAGAAGUUAUUUCAUAUUUAGUAAAACUUUUAUAAUAUUGAUAUUAUUUUUUGAAAAUCAUAAUUUUAACUUCAACUUCAAUAUUGGAUUAAAAGAAAAAAAGGGAAUUAUCUUAAAAGUUCUCAACAUAUUGAUAGGGGAUAUGACUUUGGACAAGACAAAAAAUCGAGAUACUGAUUGCUUUUAGUAUAAAUAUUCUGCAAUUAAUUAAGUUUUUUAGGGAAGAUUUGUUAAAUUAGGUUGUGAUGUUGAUUAGGGUUCAAGAAGAGAUGAGGUUAAGAAUAGGAAGAAGUUUAAAAGAACAUUUCAAAGGGAGAAUAUAAUUAAGUUUGGUGAUGUUGAUAAGAUUAUGAGAGAAAUGAGUUUAAGAAGUAAAAAAGAAGAAUUUAGAAGGUAAAACAUGCAUGUUUGAAGUGACUUCUUUCCAUCAUGAUACAAGAAAGGGUAAAAAUAUCAUUUUGAGUUUUUAAUUUGUUUAAUCACAAUGACAAAGAGGUUAAUAUAGUAUUUUGAAGUAAAGGUAAAUUUUGUAGUGUAAUAUUUAGANNNNNNNNNNNNNNNNNNNNNNNNNNNNNNNNNNNNNNNNNNNNNNNNNNNNNNNNNNNNNNNNNNNNNNNNNNNNNNNNNNNNNNNNNNNNNNNNNNNNAGGAAGGUCAUAUUAUGUAUAAGGAGGAGAAAAAUUAUCCUUAAUCAAAAUAAUUUAAGAAUAGACAAUGCAGGGUUAAAUUGAGAGUUGUUCAUUUAGGUUGGAAAUUGGACCCAACAUUAUCCAAUUUCAUCUGUGCAAGAACCUGAAUUCAUUUCUACCACCUUGACAUGGUUAGUCAAAUUCUAGCUAACAACAUAAGUUUUGAUGAAUUAGGCUUGGUUUGAAAUUUGUUCUGAAAAAUAGUUUUUAUUUUUAAAAUAAAAAUAAAAUUUUAACUUAAAAAAAAGAUAUAUUUGAUUAAUUUUUAUCCAAAACCGUUGUUGAGAAUUUAUUAUCGAAGUAUAUUGAUUUUUGAGAACAAAUCCGAAACGUUUAUUUAUUUUUGGUUAAACAUUUUUAAAAAAUAAUUGAAAAUACUAAUACUACACCAAUAACCUUUACAUUCUACAUAGGUGUAUUUUCACAAAGAGUAAAUUGGUAUAUAUAUAUAUAUAUAUAUAUAUAUAUAUAUAUAUAUAUAUAUAUAUAUAUAUAUAUAUAAGUUUUUAAAUGAAAUUUUGUAUUUAAAACCUAUUCUAAAACACUAAAUAUAUUUUUCAUAAACGGGCCCUUGUUUAUUAUUGCUAAUUACUUUGAAUAUUUAAGUGAUCAGAAAAUCAAGUAACUCCGGUGCAAUGUCUAGGGAACACAAUCAUGAUAAGUUUUUCCUUCUUUAUAUAUUUACGCAUAACAAGGCAACGACAUCACAACAACCAGCGACAGGGAAUGCUUAUUUUACAGGCAAGUAGCGCCCCAGUGGAGCGGGGCUCUUAUUAUGCAUGCUUUACAGAAAUUAUUGGACAAGAACGUACGUAGUACGAUAGGAACAGUACUACCAACCUCAAAGCUAUAGUAUUUCUUGGAUCCAUGCAACUACCAAAUCAUAGCAUACCAUAAUUAAACAUAACCAUAUACAUGUAGCCAGGCUUCAGGUACGGUAUUCUUCCUCAUUUUUUAUCUUCAAAUGCUCUAUGUACCAUUUUCCAUCCAGCUUACGGGAGAAGAAAUCCUUGACGUAUUUUUCCAUGCUUACUUGUUUGAACAAUGACGGAUUGUGAGGAUUUAUCAGACUGGUUGCAGGUUUAAUCUGAGCUGAGGAUUUGGGGUUGAAGAACAUGGCAAUGGAGAUCCUCUCUUUUGCUGCAUUUACUGUUGCCCGGUGCUCUAUGCUAGUGUAUACCCCGUUGCUCAGAAUCUGCAAAAUAGGAAGACGCGGCAAUUGGUUAAAAAAGGGGAAUUUUUUCUUAAGUUCUACUCAUUAUUUAGUGUUGUGUGUGCCUUCUAUCUUCUUUUCUUUUGGUCUUUUCUUUUUUCUUUCCCCUGUUCUCCAUAUUUGAUUCCUAAAAAUAAAACGAGAAAAAAAAGCAAGAAAAUAAAAAAUAAAUUUAAAAUUAAUAAAUUAUUUUUAUAUAUUAAUUUAAAUUUAUUUUACUUAUUUUAAUUCUUAAUAUAAAAAUUAAAUAAUUUAAAAAUAUAUAAAUUUUUAACUAAUUUUAAUUAUAUUUUACUUUAUGUGGCUAUUUUUAGAGCACAAUAAAAAAAAUUACAAUCAUAAGUGGAAGCUUAUGUUCUAAUAAUUAAACUCAUAAUUCCUAAAAAAGAAACCAAAAUCUAUCCAAAAGCUGAGAGAAAAAAACAGAAAGAAAGAAUGAAAGAACAACAAGGCUUUUUACAUGAUCCAAGCAUAUACGGAGCCUACAUUCUAAUAAACUCAUAAAUAUUAAAACCAUGAAGCAUGGGCUGAAAAUGAUAUUUAAUUAAAACAGAAAAAAUUAAGUUUGAAAACGGUAGCUACGGUUUCCAAAAUGUAGAAAGGAGUAUGUGGGGAAACCUCGAGAAUGUCUCCUAUAUUCACAACAAGUGCACCUGGAAGGAAGCUCACAGGAAUCCAAACCCCAUCCUUUUUAAUUUGGAGACCAUCCACUCCAUUAAUCUGGAGAAGGAUGGUGAUGCCGGUAGCAUCAGAGUGAGGCGUAAGCCCCAUAACCAGCUCUGGUUGUGGGCAUGGAGGAUAGUAAGUCAUCCUCACUGAUUGCAUCCCAUCCUCAAACAACUCUUCCAUCUCUCCUUUCUCCAACUUUAGAGCUUUGGCCAUAAACCCUAGAAGCAUCAUCGCCAGUUUCUGCAACUCCGCUAAGUAGCAUUCCAAGCUAUCCCUGCAGUUAAAGAAGAAAACAUAUAUAGAGCUGAAAGAAGAAGAAGAAGAAGAAGAAGAUGAUGAUGAUGAGACAGAACCUUAGCGAUGGAGGGAGCUCUGGUAAUAGAUACGGCUUCCUUGUAUGUAUAGGGUUGGUUGUCAUAUAAAACCUAUCACCCCAGUCAAGUUUUUGAUCUUCUGACCGGAUCGGGGAAAGCCCAUACCCUUCAAAAUCCCUGGGCCUCAUCUUGUAUUUUAUUCUCUCUUCCCAGGGAAGUUUGUAAAAUUCUCCGAUCUCAGAUUUCAGUUUCUCCACAAGUGAAGAGCUGACUCCAUGGUUCACCAACUGCGCAUCCAUGAACACACAUGUUUGUUUCUGUAUUGUUAUUUAUUAUUAUUAUUUUUUCAUAUUGGAUUUAGUUUAAUAUCUAUAUAUAUAUAUAUAUGUCAUGUGCAAACAGAUUAUAGGGGUAUGCUUUAUACAAAAUUGUAAUGGAUAUCAUAUGUGCCAAAUUAUUAAUUUCCGAAUAAUUUUCUGUCGCCCCACAUCGUCCUCUUCAUUUGCCUGGACACAUGAAACUAGAUUUCAUGCACAUCAAAACAGCCCUUAAAAGUUCAAGUGCUACAUAGACAAAUGAUUAAAGAUUAUUGAUUUUGAGAGAAACCUGAAAGAAACCCCACUCUUUGCAAGUUGAGUGCAGCUUCUCUAGCUCAGCAUCUGCGGUUUCACUCAUGAUUAUAUGUUUCAUGUCAAUGGUGGGGAGUAGUGGCAGGGGAGUGCUGGCUGAGAGAAUUGGAGACUGCGGAUCAUCCAGGAUAAAGGGCUGUGGGACUGCAGGGAUGGGCUCUUUGAUGAGCUCCUGAACACUUUGUACAGGAGCAGCUCGAAAGCUUGGAAACUGUGUUGAUGCCAUUGUUAAUUGGCCUAAUUUCAGUGACCUAUUGAACCAUCUUAAGGUGGGUAUUUAUAAAGCAAAUAUACUUAAGGGAGGGGGAAAAAAUAGAAAAGGAAAAAGGGAAAAAAACAAAACAAAACAAAAGCAGCAACAACAAUUGAACCGUGUCAAACCACUGUUAUUCACGUUAUAACUUCGAGGCUACUCCAAAAUAUUACGAGAAGCAUAAGGUGUUGUUUGGAUAUAUUUACUAUUUUUAAAAAUAGAAAUAGAAGAGUUUUAUAAGAUUUAUUUUAUAAAGGCAAUGCCUCAAAUUUUAAAAAUUAUAAAUUUAUACUUUUUAUAUAAGCAUACCGUAUUAUUUUCUAAUUUGGAAAACAAAAAAUCAGAAAAUAUAUCCCAUCAAUCACUCAAGUUAAUUGUCAUGGCCGUCUAUGAUGAAGAUGGUCCUUGUAGAAAUGUAAGACUUAGCGCUCAAGGAAUAUUUUUCCAUGUCUGUAAAACAUGUGAAGUGUGAGCCCUUUUUCGAACUUUUCUUAAAUGCUCUUAUGAUAAAUGCAAUGCCCGUGUUUAGUGUUUGUUACGUUGGAUUUCCAAAAGUAAACCAUGUAAACUUUACCAAUAUAUAUAUAUAUAUAUAUAUUAAGUGACCACUCUCUCAUCGAAUUUGGCAUUAGUAAUAUUGUUUACCAGGCUGAAAUUAAUGCUAAUGGUUUUUAUUUAACAACAUAUACAUUGAUGAAUAUCUAUUGUUCUUUGACAAAUCAAAAGCAAAUGGUAGAUAAUUCUCAACAAAUGACAUACCCAAAUUAUACUUUACAAAGAACAGUGAAAGCCACGUGAGAACCGCAAUGGUGUAGACUAAAGCAAAAUAUUUGUUUUAUGGUAUGAAAACAAAAAAUAUAAUAGUUAAGUAAAAAAUAUGGGAUGUUUCAAGACCUAGUACUUGUAUUUAUUUUUGUCAUUUAUAAUAUUUUUUAUCGUAUAGUGAAAUGAUAUCUCUCAUCCAUUAAAAUAAACAUGAUUGAUCGGAUCACGUUAAAAUCUUGUAUAUCUUUAUAUGUAAUUUAUUUAUAUUCUUCUAUUAAUAUGUUUACCAUGACGUUUCCAUUGGCACAAGAAGUUAUCGAUUAAUCGAGUCUAGAAUAAAUUUGCUAUUACAAAUCAAAAUUAUUUUAAAUUAUAACAUCAUAGACAAUAAAAUAAUAAUAAUUAAUUCUUAUCUCAUAAUUAGCCCUUGAGCAAGUCUUGGUUGCAUGAUGGAUGGGUGUCCCUUUCUCCUAUUUAAGCGUUAGUUGAGACAUGAAUUUUCUAAGCUUCUUCCCAUAAACGUGCGGAAUUUACAAAUUCAUUGCCAAAUCAUGUGGCAGGUUUUGACUAAAAAAAAAAGAAAAAAAAAAAGAAUCAUGUGUGCCAGAAACGAUAUCAUUAUCAUACCGUCAUCUGUGAUGCCAAGUUUUAGAGGGUUUGCGCUUGAUGGAGGGUUAAUUUGCAAGGUCCUAUAAUAAAGCCCUUGAUUAGAUUGGCAUUUUUUAACUAUUGAAAGCAGGGUGGAAGUCGAAGACAGGAGGAAUCAAAAUGGAGUGGAAAUAGAAUGAAAGCACCUAAUAUAAAUCAAAAUUAAGAAAUUUAUUGAAGUGUCUAGGAUAAGAAUCCGGAAAUGCAUUAAAAAUGAAAUUUGACGGAUUUGACUUAUUUACUUAAUAGAAACCACAAUAAAAUGCAUAUAUAUUUAUUAUUAUGGUUAAUUUCAAUCAUAUAUCUUAAGAUUUUUGUUAAAUACACUUGAAUUGUUGUUAUUAUUAUUUAUAUAAAUAAAAUAUUAAGUUUACAACAAUAUAUAUUACUAGAAACUUUAACUCUUAAAAGAGUAUUUAUACAAUUUUCUUAAUUUAUAUGACUUGAACUCACCAAAGUUUGGGUUACUUAAUAUAACACAAAAUAAGUCUGAAUUGAUUAAUUAAUAACACAUGAUCAUCUAAUUAAUCAAUUAGUCAAUUUCAGAAAACUUGUUCACUAUUCCUUAUGCAACUUUGUGUAAUUACCAAAACACUCUUAUGUACAAGAAUAAACCUAGAGUUAAUCCAACUCUUCUAAACCUUGUCAUCAUGGUAUAUGAACUUAGAGUAAGGACCACUAGGACCCAUAGGAGUAUUAACUCCCUUAAAAUCUAAUUAUGAAGUUGAUGCAAGAUUUCACACUAUAAAUAAUCAACUACACUUUAGUACCUUAUAUAAAUGACAAUGAGAUGAAACUUGGGUAUAUACCUAUUAUCCACUACAUGCAAACAUUCAAUGAACUAAUAUUUGUAAUCUAAUAAUAUAGUGUUAUCACUUAUUGAGACUACCUUUCAAAUCAUUGAGUUAUAAAUCUCAUUUAUUAUGUAAUCAACUGACAUACUUUAACUCUAAGAAACAUGUUAAAUUCCACUAAAUGAAUUAUUGCAAUCAUAGAUUUUAUGAUCGCAUAUCCUAUAGAUCACCCAAGGGGACACAAUGUCUCAAUCUCAUGAAAUAUUAUGAUGUCUCUAUUGAGAAUAUCCGUUGUCACUAGUCUUUAUCAAUAGUGACUUAAUUCAUAGGGAUAUAUGACAACUUUAAGGUCUCAUCUAUAAGUCAAAGUCUUCUGUUGAUUUCAGUAUAGAUUUAAUAUCCUUUUAAGGUUAAGAGUUCAUACAAUAUAGUAACUUAAUGAAUCAUUACAUUUGAUAGUUUUAUAUUAUAAUUCAUCGUAGGUUCUCUCCAGUAUGCAUUACAUAUACUAGUAGACUCACUAGGAGAAACUCAUCCUGAUAGUCAAGAUAAGUCUUUUUUUUCAGUUAAGAGGUGUUGCACUAUAAUCUCUAAUAGAUUGCCCAAAUUUAUGAAUUGAUUGUGCACAACUUAUCUAUUUACAAAUAACAUAUGACUUAUAUUUUUUUUAUAACUCCUAAUAUACCUAAGUCAUAUACAAUGUAAAAAUCAAUGUCAAUGCAUAAAAAUGACAGUAAAGGGACAAUUAAGUUCGAUUUUAUUACAUCAUAUCUUGUUUUUUAAGGGCUCAAUUCAACAAAUCUAUCUCAUGAACCCAAGUAUAAAAAUCACAAACUUUUUGAGAAAGAGUUAAGUGUAAAGAAUAAUGACCUAAAAGUUUAGGUGCAUUAGUUCUUGAGAGAAUUUGCCCAAUAGGUGUAUAUAAGAGAAAACUCAAUGGACCUAGAGUCAAUUUAGAAACUUAAGAAUUUUAAAAAGAUUUGGAAAAUUUUCAUUUUUUAAAUUUAAAAAAUUUGAAAAAAAAAAUUUAAAUUCUUAAUUUAACUUUUUUUUCAAAUUCCAUAAAAGAUUUGGAUUAUUUUUUUAAAAAAAAAUUCUAAACUUAUAAGUUUUUUUAAAAUUAUUUUUAUUAUUUGAAAAGAUUUUUCUUUUUAAAUUCUCCUUUUAAAAUUCUUUUCAAAUUAAUUUUAUUUCUAAUUCUAUAAGUCUGCUUUAAGUCUUUUAUAUCAUUAUUCUCAAAUAAAUCAACAAUACUUUCAUGUUUAAUCUCAAUUGAUUUUACAACAACUUUGAACCUUUAAAGGAGUCUAAAUCACAUGAAAGUAUGUAGAAUCCUAAAAUAGGAUGAAUGGAACAAAAUUAUGAACUUAACUUACAAUGAAGGCUAGUAAGACACUUAAAAGUUUGAAAAAAACUAUUAAAGAAUUUAUAUAGACUGAAUACAUGUUUUAUUAUUUAUGUAUGAAUGUUUUAAUUAUGUUAUAUGAUAAAUAAUGUGCCAGUACUUCAUUUUGAUAGAAUAUAAAUUUAAUUAAUAGCUCCUUUAAUUUAUUUUUGUUAAAUUCAUUUGAAAAUGAUUUAUUAUUUAAAUUCUUUUCAAUAAUCUUUUUAUUUAUUUAUUUUAUCAAAGUAAGAUCUUUUCAAUAAUGGUAUAUGAUCUUUUUAUUUUUAUUUACUAUUUAUUAUUAUUAUUAUUAUUAUUAUUAUUAUUAUUAUUAUUUUAUCAAAGUAAGAACAUUUAGGUUACUCUUGUAACAAUUUAUUGGUUAACUUGGGAGAUAUCACUCCAUUAAUAAUUUAAGGAUCAUUCAAUAAGAAAAAUAAUAAUUAAUCUGAAAGGAUAAAUUAUGACAAUUGUCGCAUCCAUAAUAAGAAAAAUGCAUUUUAAAAACCGGAUCGGACCGGUCGGACCAGUCCAACCGUCGGCCGAUCACCAUUCCGGUCCGAUCCAGUCAUUUAGACCGGAUUGAGAUCAAACCGGGGUUAAACCGUUCGAACCGACGGUUCAACCGGUGAACCGGACGAACCGACCGAUUCAAAAGAUUUUAAUUUUUCUUUAAAAAAAAAUUAGAAAAUGAAAAUAUUACCAAGGAUUCCAUGGAACUUAAAAUAGAUUUUACUAAAGGAUGUUGGGCCUAUCUUAUGAUACAGCCCACAACCCACAUACCCAUUCCACUUUAUGUGGGCUGAGUUUUGAGUCCACAAGCCUAUCUUAACUCUUAAGCCUUUGCUGAGGAAGGCUUUUAUAGGAGUCAUUUGACUCCUUGUUCCUCUUUCUUGCCGAUGUGGGAUUGCUAAAUAUCAAAGAAAAAAAACAUAACAAAACUCCAAGAAGGUUUGAACCUUAGACCACCCCUAUACUAAAGUCCACAUAGAACACCACUCGGCUACAUGGAUUUUAUUAUCUAAUAUGCCAAACAAAACAACACAUAUUAGAUUUUAAAUUUUUUUAUAAUAUUAAAUAAAAAUAAUAUAAUAUUUUUAAAAAUUAUGAAAUUAGUUUAAAUUUUCAUUUUUUUAUAUAUUCACAUUUAAAUAUUACACAUAUUUCAUUUAAUAAAAUUUAAAAUAUUAAUAUGAUUUAAUUUGAUAAUAUCAAAGAUAUAAAAUAAUAUUAUUGAUGUUUAAUUUAUUCAUAUAUAUUUUAAAAAUUUUAUAAUUAUUUUUAAUUUUAAUAAAAUAUAAAUUAUAUAUUUAUGAUGUCACCGGUUCAAUAGCGGUUCGACCGCCGAUCCGACCAGUGAACCGUGAACCGGUAACUUUUCCGGUUCGAUCACCGGUUCGGUUCUGAAAACAUUGGAAAAAUGUGAGAAGAUAAGAAAAAAGAUAUAAACACUUUUUAGAAUUACUGUCAAACAAAUUCUAAAUAUUUGAUUCCCUUAACUGAUUCUACAAGGAUAAAACACAAUCAAUCACAUACACUCUAAAGUUGACCUUGACCCAAAAAAAUCCUACUGUUAUAUAUUUUAGUUAAGAAAAUAUAGACAUUAAAACCAUUAAACAUGGGACGGCAAUUGGUUUUAUAAAUUAUAACUCAUGGUUUUCAACUCAAUGUUGGCGUUAUAAGGUAUCAUAUUUGUCAUCCCACUUUAUAUCAAUCUCAUAUAUGGAAAUCUGUUAUAAUGUUGUCUUGGUAGCCUACAUGACUAGAUGAAGGUUGUAUAUUUAUGUUUAUGGAGGGGGACAUACCCUAUUUCAAAAGGAUAGUUUAAAUGUGACUGAACCUUUUGCAAAUUAGAUCUCGCAAGAGGGUUGAUUUAUAUAUUGAGUUCUAUUCCAACUGCUUGAGGAAGGACCCUAAAAAGUAGUUUGCCAAGUGUUUUUUGAAAAUGAUUUUUGAAAUUUGUUUUUGAAAGCUUCUUAAUCUACUUUCUAUAUUUUUAUUUUUUUUAUUUUUUAAAAAUAUCUUUUGUUUUGUAGUGAUUUAUUUAUUCUUUGAUUGCUAAACAUAUUUUUCUAUUUAUAUCUUCCUUUCAUUUCAAAAUAAGAUUUUAUACUUUGCAUUAUUAAUUUUAAAAUCCAAUUGAAUUAGUAGUGGGAUAAUGCUUCUGUCAGUUGGAAUUCAGUUAAUUAGUAUGGUUGGAAAUUCUCUCUUCCAAUGGAAGCUUGUAAAAUUCUCCAAUCUCAUAUUUUAGAUUCUCCAAAAGUGAAGAGCAGACCAUGGUUCAUCAAGUGUGCAUAACACACGUUUUACUUUAAAUUUUAUUAUUAUUAUUAUUUUUUACCAUAGCCAUAUAUGCCAUGGUGUAACUGAAAUAUAAAACAUCCAUUUGCCCGAACUUUAAGUCUACUCGAUUCAAAAAUAUAAUUAACAUGAUAUGCGCCAAAUUAUUUCAAAAUAAUUUUUCCCCUUUCAAUAUAUAUAUAUAUAUAUAUCAAAAAUUCAAUAUUUACUCACACAUUCUAUUAUACCAAGGCCGACUCUUCUUUGUUCAUUUAUCAUACAAGUAAUAUCACCAUUGUUCUUUUUAUAUAUGUGGAUGACAUUUUUGUUGGUGGUAAUAAUUAAUGAUCCCUUUAUUACAGAUUUAAUUACCCAACUUAGUCAUGAGUUUGCAACAAAGAACAUCAACUUAGUCGUGAUUUCCCUUUCUCAAACAAAAUAAAUUCAAGACCUUCUCACUAGAACGAAGAUGCUUCACAGUUCCCCCAUAGUCACACCAAUGUUCCUCCAAGAGAAGGAAACUUCUACCGACAUAAAUUCUAUUGACACCAUUGAUUAUCAUAGUGUUGUUGGUGUCUUGCAAUAUUUAACCUUUACAAAAUUUGACAUUAUGCCAACUGUAAAUCGGGUAUGUCAACAUUUCAAUAAUCCUACGUCGAUUCAUUUAUAGGCAAUGAAGCGAAUCCUUUGGUAUCUAAAGGGCACUUAACACUUUGGAUUACAUUAUCUUUCACAAAGUCCAUUAUAUGUCUUCAGUGAUGCUAAUUGAGCUAGAUGUUCAAUUACAAGGAGAAGCACCAUUGGUUUUUGUGUCUUAUUUAGGGCAAAUUGUAUUUUAUGGUGUUCAAAGAAGCAACCUACAAUUGCUUGUUCUAGUUUUGAGGGAGAAUAUAGGUCCAUGGCAUCUACAAUUGUCAAAAUUACUUGAAUAACAUUCUUACUACAAGACAUUGGUACGACACUUCCUCACCCUCCUUAGUUGUUAUGUGAUAAGUGUAUUCCAUAUAUCCAUCAACCUAAUGUUCUAUGCUUGAUCUAAACAUAUCACAAUUGACUACCAUUUUGUUUAUGAGAAAGUUUUUAUGGGUACUCUUGUCACCCAAUACAUUUCUUCAUCCUCGUAACCCAUUGAUACCUUCACAAAACCUUUGAUGACAUUCUCUUUCUUUUAAGAUAAGUUGGGAGUCAACUUCUAUUCCCGCUUCAACUUGAGGAGGGUGGUAAGGAAGAUUCUUUUGUUAAGGGAGAUUCUUCUCCUAAAGAAGACAAGGAAAGUUGUCAUUGCUUGUUGCAGUAGUAAGGAAGAUUGUCAAAGGUUAAUCACACAACUGUUAUAGAAUAACCAUAUUCCUAUUUAUAUUAAAUUUCCAUACAUGUAUCCUCCUGCUAUGUAGAUUUCCAUCUAAGUUUCAGCCAUGUACAUCUAUAUAAAACAUUACUUGUCUCCUUGUAAAAACCAAAAGUCAAUAGAUUUAAAAGGUUCCCUUACAUGAGUUUAUUAACCCUCCUAUGGUGAGCAUUUAUAAAGCAAAUAUACUCAAGGGAGUAAAAAUAAAAAUAAAAAAUAAAAAAUAAACACACUAACUAAUAUUAUCAAACCAUUGUUAUUUACGUUAUAACCUUUAAAUCACUCCAAAAUACUUCUAUAAUUAAGCAUAUGUUUAUUAAUAUUACCACCCAUCUUUGAUACAUUUAUAAUUUGGGUGUGAAUUGAUGUAGAAACAUGAAACCUCCACUCAAGAAUGUUUUCCAUGAUUGGAAGGUAAUAUUUGGUACGUGACAAUGAGGAGUGAGAAAAUACAUCUCAUUCCUUAUUUCAUUUAUUAAAAAAAAUAUAAUGUAUUCAUUUUGCUAAAAAUAAAUAAUAAUAAUUCAAAACCAAUAAUUUCUAAUACUAUUUUAUUUUAAAUAAAUUUCAAAACAAAUAGAGUUUAGUUUUUUAAGAUAUAAAUGAGCCAAAUUUCUCAUUGCAUGUGUACUAAUUGAUUGAAAUUAAUUACUAAAACAAACUUGCAUGUAGUUAAUUAAAAUAUUCUAGACCGAUAGUAAAAAUAAAGAAUUUUCUAAUAACUAUUAUGCUAUCAUCAUGUAAGUACUUUGUGCAAUUAAGUGAUUCAUUAUUUAAAAGUGAGAAAUGAGAUUAUUCAUACUAGGUGAGACAAAUUUACUUUUCUAUUCCAAUUCUUAAUACCCGGAAAUGAAAUAAAUGAAAAUGACUCACUAAUUUCAUUUCAAUAUAAUGGCAUAAACAUGCCUAUGAUAGAAAUGUAAAACAUACUUGUCACAUCAAUAAUAAGAAUAUUAAAUGUGUGACAUUCAUGCCAAAACCUAAGUAGCUAGCCAAAUUGAAGUCAUUAAUAUCUUUAUCAUAGUCCAUGUAUAACUUUCAACCCCUUCAUUCUAUAUGUUAAUAAUGUUAGCUAGCUUUAUGCAUCAUAGAUCAUUUGGUUCCCUUAGGAUGCCUUGACUUCAACGGCCCACUUCAUUUUCAUGAUAAUGAAAACCAAAGAAAUUCCUAAAUUAAUUGAUUUAUUGUAUAAUUGCUUAACAAAUUAUGUCAAUUUGGCUACCAUUUGAUCAGUUAGACCCAUUAUUUACAAGCACUUAAAUAAGGUUACCCAUUUUCUAUGUACAUCAUAUACCAGCAGGUCAAGAUAAACCAGAAUAUUUUGCACCAUUUUGUCAAAUGGUUAUCCCAUUUUCAUCACUUGAUUAAAAAGAUACUUAUUUGGAAUUUUGAUAAAAGCUCUAUAAGGUUAUAUUUUUAUAGCAAUAGAGGUUGAAAUAAGGCAAAUACAUUGAACUAGUUAGUGAGAGGUUGGACUAAAUUGUCCUUUAAAGGUCUGAUGCUAGUGGAGGAAAAGCACUUCUGACAGAUGCAAGUGUGUAGAUGUUGAAAUAAAUCUCGUUUUAUGAUUGAUAACAUCUAUUGCAUUUAACAAAGGCAAAUACCACAUUUUAAGCUUGAUUUAACUGUUAAAUAUAUUUUUCAUUUAAUUAAUUAUAUGUUAUCUCGUGUAUACUCGAUUUUUUAUAUUUUUCAUUACUUGUUAAUAUUUAUAACUAUUUUCAUUAAUAAAGAUAAUCUUAGAAACUUUUUGGGAUAUCUUGAAUGUAAGGGUGGUAUAUGAAUGAAAUCAAGGGAUCAAAGUCACACGAAAAUGAAUAAUAUUGUCCUAUUUUGAUCAAUAAAAAGUUUUAGAUUGAUUGGGAAUGUUAGAAAUGUCCAUAUAAGUUCAUUUUGAAAGUUUCCUAGGUUGUUUGUUUGUAAAUAAUUAAAGAUUAUUAAAAUUAGUAGUUAGCUUAUAGAAUAAAGAUAGAUUUUUUUCUUCUUUUUUUGUGGAGUUUUUUUUUAUCUUGUUUCUAGGAUGAUUGAUUUAGGAGAACUAUAAAUGGGUAUGAAGUGAAUUUCAAUUUUUUUUUUCUUUCCAAACUCAGUUGAGUUCAAGUAUUAUCUUACCUCACUCCACCUAUCUUGAUUAUAAAUAUAAUUAAAUAAAAAUAAUUUAAUUAAAUAAAUUUUUUUCCAUUUUUAAUACAAAUAAAAGAAGAUUUAUUUAUUACUAAAUUAUAAAUUGUAUUUUAUUUAUAAGUUAUAUUUUUUUUAAAAUAUAAUUUACAUUUAAAAUUUUUUAAGAAAAAUGAAAAAUAUAGUGUAGUGGGAAUGGGAAAUUCCCUUGCAUGUUUGCCCCGAAGUUAUACCCUUUAGAAUUUUAUUUUAUUAACUUUUGGAUAAAAAUAAAAAUGACCAUAAAUAAUCAUGAUAAGUUGGAAUAAGAAUGACCUCUAGAAUUGACUCCCCUUAUCAUACCAUAGAAGAAACACAUCUACUUAUGUGCUAAUUUAUAUAAAAGGACAAAAAUGAUACCUACUUGAUCCAUUUAUCCUUUAUUUUAUCAAAUUUAUAUAUGUGUGACAUAUUAGAAAGAGCUUGAUCUAGGAAAAUAAGACUAAACAUAAAAUAAGAGAAAUGCAAAAUGAUGUUUUUGAAAUAUAUAGCAUUGGUUUCCUUCAUGAUUUGUAAAUAUUAUCAAACACUCAUUUUAUAAAAACCAUAUAUUGCAUUUAAUAAAGGCAAAUCCCACUAUUUAAGCUUGAUUUCACUAUUAAAUAUAUUUUUCAUCUUAUUAAUUAUAUGUUAUCUUGUGUAUACUCGAUUUUUCAUAUUGUUCAUUACUUGUUAAUGUUUAUUACUAUUUCCAUUAACAAAGAUAACCUUGGAAACUUUUUGGGAUAUCUUGAAUACAAAGGUGGGGUAUGAAUGAAUCGGAGGGAUUAAAGUCGUUUAAAGAUGAAUAAUGUUGUCCUAUUCUGAACAAUAAAACGUUUUAGGUUAGAUGAAAAGAUUAGAAAUGUCCAAAUAAGUUCAAUAUGAAGGAUUAUCUCAGAGAAGAAAGAUAGAUUCUUUUUUUUUUUUUAUGGAGUUUUUUUAUCUUGUUUCUAAGAUGAUUGAUUUAGGAGAACCAUAAAUGGAAUGAAGUGAAUUUCAAUUUUUUUUUUUCAAAAUCGGGUUGUUUAGGUAUUAUCUUACAUCUACUCCCCUUAUCAUACCAUAGAAGAAAAACAUCUACUUACGUGCUAAUUUAUAUAAAAGGACAAAAAGGAUACCUACUUGAUCCAUUUAUCCUUUAUUUAAUCAAAUUUAUAUAUGUGUGACAUAUUAGAAAGAGCUUGAUCUAGGAAAAUAAGACUAAACAUAAAAUAAGAGAAAUGCAAAAUGAUGUUUUUGAAAUAUAUAGCAUUGGUUUCCUUCAUGAUUUGUAAAUAUUAUCAAACACUCAUUUUAUAAAACCACAUAUUGCAUUUAAUAAAGGCAAAUCCCACUAUUUAUGCUUGAUUUCACUAUUAAAUAUAUUUUCCAUCUUAUUAAUUAUAUGUUAUCUUGUGUAUACUCGAUUUUUCAUAUUGUUCAUUACUUGUUAAUAUUUAUAACUAUUUCCAUUAACAAAGAUAACCUUGGAAACUUUUUGGGAUAUCUUGAAUACAAAGGCGGGGUAUGAAUGAACCGGAGGGAUUAAAGUUGUUUGAAGAUGAAUAAUGUUGUCCUAUUUUGAAUAAUAAAAUGUUUUAGGUUAGAUGAAAAGAUUAGAAAUGUCCAAAUAAGUUCAAUACGAAGGAUUAUCUAAGAAAAGAAAGAUAGAUUCUUUUUUUUUUUUAUGGAGUUUUUUUAUCUUGUUUCUGAGAUGAUUGAUUUAGGAGACCCAUAAAUGGAAAUGAAGUGAAUUUCAAUUUUUAUUUUUUUUUUCAAAAUCGGGUUGUUUAGGUAUUAUCUUACAUCCACUCCCCUUAUCAUACCAUAGAAGAAAAACAUCUACCUAUGUGCUAAUUUAUAUAAAAGGAAAAAAAUGAUACCUACUCGAUCCAUUUAUCCUUUAUUUAAUCAAAUUUAUAUAUGUGUGACAUAUUAGAAAGAGCUUGAUCUAGGAAAAUAAGACUAAACAUAAAAUAAGAGAAAUGCAAAAUGAUGUUUUUGAAAUAUAUAGCAUUGGUUUCCUUCAUGAUUUGUAAAUAUUAUCAAACACUCAUUUUAUAAAACCACAUAUUGCAUUUAAUAAAGGCAAAUCCCACUAUUUAUGCUUGAUUUCACUAUUAAAUAUAUUUUUCAUCUUAUUAAUUAUAUGUUAUCUUGUGUAUACUCGAUUUUUCAUAUUAUUCAUUACUUGUUAAUGUUUAUAACUAUUUCCAUUAACAAAGAUAACUUUGGAAACUUUUUGGGAUAUCUUGAAUACAAAGGUGGGGUAUGAAUGAACCGGAGGGAUUAAAGUCGUUUGAAGAUGAAUAAUGUUGUCCUAUUUUGAACAAUAGAACGUUUUAGGUUAGAUGAAGAGAUUAGAAAUGUCCAAAUAAGUUCAAUAUGAAGGAUUAUCUCAGAGAAGAAAGAUAGAUUCUUUUUUUUUUUUUUUAUGGAGUUUUUUUAUCUUGUUUCUAAGAUGAUUGAUUUAGGAGAACCAUAAAUGGAAAUGAAGUGAAUUUCAAUUUUUUUUUUUUUUCAAAAUCGGGUUGUUUAGGUAUUAUCUUACAUCCACUCCCCUUAUCAUACCAUAGAAGAAAAACAUCUACUUAUGUGCUAAUUUAUAUAAAAGGACAAAAAUGAUACCUACUUGAUCCAUUUAUCCUUUAUUUAAUCAAAUUUAUAUAUGUGUGACAUAUUAGAAAGAGCUUGAUCUAGGAAAAUAAGACUAAACAUAAAACAAGAGAAAUGCAAAAUGAUGUUUUUGAAAUAUAUAGCAUUGGUUUCCUUCAUGAUUUGUAAAUAUUAUCAAACACUCAUUUUAUAAAACCACAUAUUGCAUUUAAUAAAGGCAAAUCCCACUAUUUAUGCUUGAUUUCACUAUUAAAUAUAUUUUCCAUCUUAUUAAUUAUAUGUUCUCUUGUGUAUACUCGAUUUUUCAUAUUGUUCAUUACUUGAUUAUGUUUAUAACCAUUUCCAUUAACAAAGAUAACUUUGGAAAAGUUUUUGGGAUAUCUUGAAUACAAAGGUGGGGUAUGAAUGAAUCGGAGGGAUUAAAGUCAUUUGAAGAUGAAUAAUGUUGUCCUAUUUUGAACAAUAAAACGUUUUAGGUUAGAUGAAAAGAUUAGAAAUGUCCAAAUAAGUUCAAUAUGAAGGAUUAUCUCAAAGAAGAAAGAUAGAUUCGUUUUUUUUUUACGGAGUUUUUUUAUCUUGUUUCUAAGAUGAUUGAUUUAGGAGAACCAUAAAUAGAAAUGAAGUGAAUUUCAAUUUUUUUUUUUCAAAUUCGGAUUGUUAGGUAUUAUCUUACAUCUACUCCCCUUAUCAUACCAUAGAAGAAAAACAUCUACUUACGUGCUAAUUUAUAUAAAAGGACAAAAAUGAUACCUACUUGAUCCAUUUAUCCUUUAUUUAAUCAAAUUUAUAUAUGUGUGACAUAUUAGAAAGAGUUUGAUCUAGGAAAAUAAGAAUAAACAUAAAAUAAGAGAAAUGCAAAAUGAUGUUUUUGAAAUAUAUAGCUUUGGUUUCCUUCAUGAUUUGUAAAUAUUAUCAAACACUCAUUUUAUAAAACCACAUAUUGCAUUUAAUAAAGGCAAAUCCCACUAUUUAUGCUUGAUUUCACUAUUAAAUAUAUUUUCCAUCUUAUUAAUUAUAUGUUAUCUUGUGUAUACUCGAUUUUUCAUAUUGUUCAUUACUUGUUAAUAUUUAUAACUAUUUCCAUUAACAAAGAUAACCUUGGAAACUUUUUGGGAUAUCUUGAAUACAAAGGUGGGGUAUGAAUGAACCGGAGGGAUUAAAGUCGUUUGAAGAUGAAUAAUGUUGUCCUAUUUUGAAUAAUAAAAUGUUUUAGGUUAGAUGAAAAGAUUAGAAAUGUCCAAAUAAGUUCAAUACGAAGGAUUAUCUAAGAAAAGAAAGAUAGAUUUUUUUUUUUUUUUUUUAUGGAGUUUUUUUAUCUUGUUUCUAAGAUGACUGAUUUAGGAGACCCAUAAAUGGAAAUGAAGUGAAUUUCAAUUUUUUUUUUUUCAAAAUCGGGUUGUUUAGGUAUUAUCUUACAUCCACUCCCCUUAUCAUACCAUAGAAGAAAAACAUCUACCUAUGUGCUAAUUUAUAUAAAAGGACAAAAAUGAUACCUACUUGAUCCAUUUAUCCUUUAUUUAAUCAAAUUUAUAUAUGUGUGACAUAUUAGAAAGAGCUUGAUCUAGGAAAAUAAGACUAAACAUAAAAUAAGAGAAAUGCAAAAUGAUGUUUUUGAAAUAUAUAGCAUUGGUUUCCUUCAUGAUUUGUAAAUAUUAUCAAACACUCAUUUUAUAAAACCACAUAUUGCAUUUAAUAAAGGCAAAUCCCACUAUUUAUGCUUGAUUUCACUAUUAAAUAUAUUUUCCAUCUUAUUAAUUAUAUGUUAUCUUGUGUAUACUCGAUUUUUCAUAUUGUUCAUUACUUGUUAAUAUUUAUAACUAUUUCCGUUAACAAGGAUAACCUUUGAAACUUUUUGGGAUAUCUUGAAUACAAAGGUGGGGUAUGAAUGAACCGGAGGGAUUAAAGUCGUUUGAAGAUGAAUAAUGUUGUCCUAUUUUGAAUAAUAAAACGUUUUAGGUUAGAUGAAAAGAUUAGAAAUGUCCAAAUAAGUUCAAUACGAAGGAUUAUCUCAGAGAAGAAAGAUAGAUUCUUUUUUUUUUAUGGAGUUUUUUUAUCUUGUUUCUAAGAUGAUUGAUUUAGGAGAACCAUAAAUGGAAAUGAAGUGAAUUUCAAUUUUUUUUUUCAAAAUCAGGUUGUUUAGGUAUUAUCUUACAUCCACUCCCCUUAUCAUACCAUAGAAGAAAAACAUCUACUUAUGUGCUAAUUGAUAUAAAAGGACAAAAAUGAUACCUACUUGAUCCAUUUAUCCUUUAUUUAAUCAAAUUUAUAUAUGUGUGACAUAUUAGAAAGAGCUUGAUCUAGGAAAAUAAGACUAAACAUAAAAUAUGAGAAAUGCAAAAUGAUGUUUUUGAAAUAUGUAGCAUUUGUUUCCUUCAUGAUUUGUAAAUAUUAUCAAACACUCAUUUUAUAAAAACCAUAUAUUGCAUUUAAUAAAGGCAAAUCCCACUAUUUAUGCUUGAUUUUACUAUUAAAUAUAUUUUUCAUCUUAUUAAUUAUAUGUUAUCUUGUGUAUACUCGAUUUUUCAUAUUGUUCAUUACUUGUUAAUGUUUAUAACUAUUUCCAUUAACAAAGAUAACCUUGGAAACUUUUUGGGAUAUCUUGAAUACAAAGGUGGGGUAUGAAUGAACCGGAGGGAUUAAAGUCGUUUGAAGAUGAAUAAUGUUGUCCUAUUUUGAACAAUAAAACGUUUUAGGUUAGAUGAAAAUAUUAGAAAUGUCCAAAUAAGUUCAAUAUGAAGAAUUAUCUCAGAGAAGAAAGAUAGAUUCUUUUUUUUAUUUUUUAUAUGGAGUUUUUUAUCUUGUUUCUAAGAUGAUUGAUUUAGGAGAACCAUAAAUGGAAAUGAAGUGAAUUUCAAUUUUUUUUUCAAAUUCGGGUUGGGUUUAGGUAUUAUCUUACAUCACUCCACUUAUCUUAUUAUGAAUAUAAUUAAAUAAAAAUAAUCUAAUUUAAUUAUUUUUAUUUUUCCAUUUUUAAUACAAUUAAUAAGAGAAGAUUUAUUUAUUAAUUAAUUAUAAAUUGUAUUUUAUUUAUAAGUUAUAUUUGUUUAAAAAAAAAAAAGAAAUGAAAAAUAUAGUGUAGUGGGCAUGGAAAAUUCCCUUGCAUGUUUGCCCCAAAGUUGUCUCCUUUAGUUUUUUUUUUUUUUUGUACUUUUGGAUAGAGAUAAAAAUGAUCAUAAAUAAUCAUGGUAAUUUGGAAUAAGAAUGACGUCCCAAAUCUACUUCCAUUAUCAUACCAUAGAGAAAAAUGAUACCUGUAUGAUCUACUUAUAUAUUCUUUAUUUAAUCAAAUUUAUAUAUGUGUGGCAUAUUAAUUCGAAAGAGCUUGAUAGAGUAAAAUAAGACUAAGCAUAAAAUAAGAGAAAUAUAAAAUGAUAUUUUUGAAAUAUAUAGCAUUAGUUUCCUUUAUGAUUUGUAAAUAUUAUCAAACACUCAUUUUAUAAAACUAUAUAUGGACAAGAAAGAGACAGGUGUAGAAGUGUUUAAUUGGCAUGAAAAGGGUAGGUUUAUUUCACUUCUUGUCCGCUUUGGAUAUGAUCCAUUGAAUGUUUGGGUCAGUUGUAGUCAGAUGUUGAAAUAAGUGUGUUUUUGAAAAUCAUUGUUAGAACGAGUCACUUAUAUGGACUAGGGUGCUCAAAACUUUAGCACUAUGUUAGAACGGUUGCUUAUUAUUUUUCUAAAAGUGAAGCCGGAUGAACGAAAUGUGUAUGGAUAAAAAGACAAGGGUUUUUGAGGUAGGAAGGCUGAAGAUUCUGAGUAAAAAGAAGGGUUUGAUGGGAAGUUAUUGACUUAAGGAAGAUGUAUCUGUUGACGACAAUUGAAGGAUGAGGUGAAUCGGGAAUAAAGUGGGUGGGGAGUUUUUCUUUUUCUUUUUCUUUUUCAUUUUAUGGAUUAGGGAGAAAUUUACUUCUUUUGCAUUUUAUGUUUGAUUUUGGGAUGUUGAUUUUGAAACUCAUCUAAAUCCAUUUCUUUUAUUGGCUUCAAUGUAUGAUUCAAAAGGGAGGUUGGGAAUUGCUUCAAAUGGGAAACAAUAUGAAAAUGAAUAUGAUAUUUGGGAAAUCAUAUUUGUUGAUGCCAGGUCAACUAAGGAUGGAUUCCCCCCUCUAAGAUGGCAGUGAAAGCCCCUAUUCAAAUGGUGGAAUCUGGACUUCCCGUUUUCUUGCACAAAGAUGUUCAGACGGGUUGUCCAAACACACCCUCUGAAGCCCAAGUCAGAUAUUGGGAAUGAAUAAGAACCCUUAGAGAGAGAGAGAUGAGAGAGAGAGAGUAAGAGAUCUCACCGUGUCCUCUCCCUUCAUUCUAUUAUAGUAGAGUUUUUAUAGUGUUCAAAGGUAGAGAGGAGCUUAGUAGUGCUGAGCUGGCCAUUGUAGUGAUGAUUGUGUAGUAGGGCAAUCAUCAUAUUUGCAGGAAAGCUGGGGGCCGUGUCAGACGGCGCGUCAUGACAUAGCUUGCCAUCUUUUCAAACUUGCUAAUGACCUGAGACUUGAAGUGCUUGUCUACUAAAGUAGAUGUGAGGAUGGAGAGGGUCCCAUCAGUCAAUCUAGUGUCAGCUAACCAGGGCCUCGCAUAUCAAAGAAGAUUUGAGGCUAUCAAGAGGGAUGUGGGCCGCUUAGUGGCGCAAAUGGUCCGAACAGACUAUUCACCCGGGUGCCUUGAAGGUUGUUUGAGUAGCGAUAAAGAACUGCCGCAUGGCCCUGCUGGGAUAAUGCCACGUGGGUAGACACAUGGCAAUAAGCAUGGGUGGACACGUGGGAUAUGGUGCCCACAAUAUUGGUUUUCAUUAGUUUGUAAUGUUGAUUAGGGUUCAAGGAGAAAUGAGGUUAAGGAUAGGAAGAGUGUACAUAAAAAGACAUUUUAGAGGGAAAAUCUAAUUAAGUUUGGGGAUGUUGACUAGAUUAUGAGGAGAAAUGAGAUUAAGAAAUAAAAAGAAGAAUUUAGAAGGGAAAAGAUAUUUGAAACAACUUCAUUCCCUCAUGAUAUAAGAAAUGGUAAAAAUGUCAUUUUAUAAUUUUAUUUAAACACAUUUAGGAGAAAAAGUUUGACAAAGAGGUUAAUAUAAUAUUUUGGAAUAGAGGUAAAUUUUGUAACUUAAUAUUUAGAUGUGUCUAAUAGUUUAAAACAAAGAAAAAUUUUGUGUAAUAUAAUGAAAUUCGAGGAAGAUCAUCUCUGAUAUAGAAAAGAAAAAAAUUAUCCUUGAUCAAAAUAAUUUAAGAAUAGAAAACGUAGGACUAAAUUAAGACUUGUUCAUUUAGAUUGGAAAUUGGAUAUCCAAUUUCAUUGGUCGAAGAUAUUGAGUUCAUUUCUACCACCUUAGCAUGGUUUAGUAGUUAAAUUCUAGCAAGUAAAAUAAGUUUUAAUGAAUUAGGAUCUAUUUCAAAAUUAUUCUGAAAAAUAUUUUUUUGCUUUUUAAAAUGAAAAAUAAACUUUUAGCUUGAAAAGUAUAUAUAUUAGUUAAUUUUUACCCAAAACACUUUGAGAAUUUAAUAUAUUGAUUUUUGAGAACAAAUUUGAGGAUUUUUUUUUAAAUAUUCUAAAAAAAAUGAACAUAUUAAUUAUAUAUCGACAACAACCUUUUCAUUUAACAUAGGUGCAUAGUAAUUUCAUAAAGAAAAAAUUGAGAAAAUUAAUUUUUAUAUCUAAGUUUUUUAAAAAAAAAACUUGUUCUUAAAAAUAAUUGAUAAUAUUUAAAAACUACAUUUAAAAACUUUUAUUAUUAUUAUUAUUAAGGUUGCCAAACCCUUGUUUAUUAUUAUUAGCUUCUUUAAAUAUUGAAGUUAUUAAAAAAAUGAGCUAGCAAUGGUGCUGUCAAGUAAACACAAUCACGACAAAUUUUUUCUUCUUUAUAUAAUUAUGCAAUCUUAUUUAUGUAUAACACGGAAACAACAUUACAACAACAUGGGAAUCCUUAUUUUACAGAAAUUAUUUGACUAGUGUACGUAAUAAGAUAGUAAUAAUACUACCCAUCUCAAAGCUAUAAUCUUUCUAGGAUCCAUGCGACUGCCAAACCAUAGCAUACCAUAAUUAAACAUAACCAUAUACAUGUAGCCUGACUUCAGGUACUGUAUUCUUCUUCAUUUUUGAUCUUCAUAUGCCCUAGAUACUGUUGAGGGCUCGCAUUACCGAGACCACCGCAAAUGUCAGAUGGACGCUCCUCCUCAACUAAAGAUGAUACUCGCUUCAUUUGACCUGCAAAAGAUGUUCGAAUACACCCUUCGAUGGUUUUGUUAGUUCUUUUCUCUAACAUUGUUAUAUUCUAACUUGGGUCCUCCUUUUUUGGGAAAAAAUGCUUACCUUCUUUUAUUGUGUGAGGGCCUUUUAUAGUGUUAGGAGCUUUGUCCCCUUUGAUGGUGGGAAGACUUUUUGGUUUGUCAUGAUGAUGCUAAGAUGGUAGCAGAGUCAUUAUUGUUCUGCAGGCGGAUGUCAAAAGUUAUGGGAGGGAUGACUUGCCGUCAUCCCCGUCUUUUUGCUCUGUAGGCGGUGGGUUGCAGAUUGUGACAGGUUGCCUAAAGUGACCCAGGAGGGUCCCGUCGAGCAUACUUUUAGUAGUAUAAAUAAUGAUGGUCUGCGAAAUGCGGUCAAGACUUUUGUCUAAGACGCUGGCAUUGGGUCUGGACAGAACGUCCGGACAAGGGAGUGUGGAUAGCACGCCGGUCCCAUGGUCGUCCGGAUGAAGAGUUGAGAGUGCCCCGUGCCCCAUGAGGAAAAUCCGGACAGAGGGUUGAACUUGCCAUGUGUCCCAUGGAGGAGCGUUCUGUGAGGUUGCCACGUGUGCGCUUAGGGGUGGUCCUUACAGAUACGAUUUUCCAUCCAGCUUACGGGAGAAGAAAUCUUUGAAGUAUUUUUCCAUGCCUACUUGUUUGAACAGUGGCGGAUUUUGAGGAUUUAUCUGGCUGGGUGCAGGUUUAGUCUGAGCUGAGAAUUUGGGAUUGAAGAACAUGGCAAUGGAGAUCCUCUCUUUUGCUGCAUUUACUGUUGCCCGGUGCUCUAUGCUAGUGUAUACCCCGUUGCUCAGAAUCUGCAAAAUAGGAAGACGCGGCAGUUGGUAAAAAAGGGGGCAUUUUUCCUCAAGUACUAGUCAUUAUUCGGUGUUGUGUGUGUGUUCUAUUCUUUUUCUACCCCUGUAUUGUACUCUAGGUUUGAAUGAAUAUUAAAGAGAAACACAUGCCAGUGUCUGUAAUCUCAAAGUGACAGCUCCACUAGUGCAUAAAACCAUGAAGCGUGGGGCUGCAAAUGAUAUUUAAUUAAAACACAAGAUUUAAGUUUGAAAAUGGUAGCUAGGGUUUCGAAAAUAUAGAGCGGAUUCCAUUUAACAUUUUCUAUUUUAUUUUGUUUUAUUUUUUUGAAAGAGAGAAAGGAGUCUGUGGGGAAACCUCGAGAACGUCUCCUACAUUCACAACAAGAGCAUCUGGAAGGAAGCUCACAGGAAUCCAAACCCCAUCCUUUUUAAUUUGGAGACCAUCCACUCCAUUAAUUUGAAGAAGGAUGGUGAUGCCGGUUGCAUCAGAGUGAGGCGUAAGCCCCAUAACCAGCUCUGGUUGUGGGCAUGGAGGAUAGUAAGUGAUCCUCACUGAUUGCAUCCCAUCCUCAAACAACUCUUCCAUCUCUCCUUUCUCCAAUUUUAGAGCUUUGGCCAUAAACCCUAGAAGCAUCAUCGCUAGUUUCUGCAGCUCCGCUAAGUAACAUUCCAAGCUAUCCCUGCAGUUAAAGAAGAAAACAUAUAUAAAGCUGAAAGAAGAAGAAGAAGAAGAAGAAGAAGAAGACGAAGAAGAUGAUGAUGGGAGAGAACCUUAGCAAUGAAGGGAGUUCUGGUAAUAGAUACUGUUGGGACGUCAUUUGUUUUAUCCGGGAUUGGAUCGGAGUAUUUUUGGCUCUGGCCGGCCGUACCACCGAACUGUGCCAGACGGGGGGCAUCACAGCCGGAAUGGGCCGGGGACCAGAGUGGCCUUCCCAGGAUUCAAACUUGGGUCCUGUAGGCCUNNNNNNNNNNNNNNNNNNNNNNNNNNNNNNNNNNNNNNNNNNNNNNNNNNNNNNNNNNNNNNNNNNNNNNNNNNNNNNNNNNNNNNNNNNNNNNNNNNNNGUCCUAAGCCUUAAGGCCUACAGGACCCAAGUUCGAAUCCUGGGAAGGCCACUCUGGUCCCCGGCCCAUUCCGGCUAUGAUGCCCCCGUCUGGCACAGUUCGGUGGUACGGCCAGCCAGAGCCAAAAAUACUCCGGUCCAAUCCCAGAUAAAACAAAUGAUGUCCCAACAGAUACGGCUUCCUUGUAUGUAUAGGGUUGGUUAUCAUAUAAAACCUAUCACCCUAGUCAAGUUUUUGAUCUUCUGACCGGAUUGGAAGAAGCCCGUACCCUUCAAUAUCACCGGGGCAUCAUCUUGUAUUUCAUUCUCUCUUCCAAGGGAAGUUUGUAAAAUUCUUCGAUCUCCGAUUUCAGUUUCUCCACAAGUGAAGAUCUCACUCCAUGGUUCACCAACUAUGCAUCCAUGAACACACAUCUUAGUUUCUGUAUUGUUAUUUGUCAUUAUUUUUUCAUAUUGGAUUUGGUUUAAUAUCUAUAUAUAUGUCAUGCAAGGUGCAAACGGAUUAUAGGGGUCUACUUCAUACAAAAUUGCAAGGGAUAUCAUAUGAGCCUCAUUAAUUUCUGAGUAAUUUUGUCAGUCGCCCCAAAUGGUCCUCUCCAUUUGCAUGGACACAACAAAACAGCCCCUAAAGUUCAAGUGCAAUACAGAAAAAAUAAUUAGAGAUUAUCGAUGUUGAGAGAAACCGGAAAGAAACCCCAUUCUUUGCAAGUUGAGUGCAACUUCUCCAGCUCAGAACCUGCGGUUUCACUCAUAAUUAAAUGUUUCAUGUCAAUGGUGGGGAGUAGUGGCAGGGGAGUGCUGGCUGAGAGAAUUGGAGGCUGCGGAUCAUCCAGGAUAAAUGGCUGUGGGACUGCAGGGAUGGGCUCUUUGAUGAGCUCCUGAACACUUUGAAUAGGAGCAGCACGAAAGCUUGAAGAUUGUGUCGAUGCCAUUGCUAAUUGGCCAAAUUUCAGUGACCAAUUGAACCAUCUGAAGGUGGGUAUUUAUAAUGCAAAUAUACUUGAGGAAGAGGAAAAAGAAAAAGAAAAAAAAAAGGGGGUUGGGGGGAGGGCGCGGGCCAGCACAAGCAACAACAGAACCGUAUCAAACCAUUGUUAUUCACGUUACAACUUGUAAGCCAGUACCCCAGAAUAUUUUUUUUCUAGAAGUAUAAGGUGUUGUUUGAAUGUAUAUAUUUAGUACUUCCAAUUAAAAAUUGAAAUACAAAAGCUUUUCAAACUUGCCUUAAAAAUGUAAUAUCUUUUAAAAAAUUUAUCACCAAAACAUGUGGCAGGUUUUGAGUAAAUAAAAAAAACAGCCUUGACUUAAUUCGCAAGGUCCUAUAAUAAAUCCUUGACUGGAUGAUCGAUCUAGGCCCUUUUUUUGAACUAUAAAGGAACCUAAAUGGAGCGGAAGAAUUUUACUGAAGUGUCCAUCCAAAAAUGAAUUAAAAAUGAAACAUGAUGGAUUUGAAUUGUCUACUUACAGGAACGAAAAUGCUCACUAAGUUUCUCAAGAUGGAAUGAAUCAAACAUGGCCUAUUGUAAAUGUAAAAUAUAAUGCUCGUCUUAGCAAUUAUCUUUGACGCUUAUCUUACUGGAAUGGUUGUAUACGUUGAGUAUAAACACAUGCAUAUGCAUAGGAUUGAAGCAACAAAUCUUAACCUAUAAUUAGAGUACAAAAUUGGAUAUUUAGGGAUGUUCCCAUAAAUGGGUCUGAGUUGGGGUAUUGAAUUAGACUUUACUUGUUACAUGCCUUGACCCUAUUAGUGGAUUUCCUCAACAUACAAUGAAUUUCGUAACAAUAAAUUUGCUCAAACUAGAAAACUAUUAAAUAAUUUAUAUAGAUUGAAUACAUUCAUAUUAUAUUACUUAUGUAUAGAUUUUCUUAUUCUAUCUCAAAAUCCGAUUAGUAAGAGUGAGAAAUGAUGUCCCAAUAAUUCAUUUUGAUAGAAUAGCAAUUAUAAUAACGGCCCCUUUAGUUUAUUUUAUUAAGAAAAUGAUUUAUUAUUUAAAUUUCUUUCUAAUAAGUUUAGAUCCAUGUAUAUAAUCUUAUUUUUAUUUUUUGGUAUAGAAUAACAUUUACAUUAUUCUUAUAACAAUUUAUCAGUAAACUUGGGAGUUAUCACUCCAUUCAUAAUUUAACAAUCAUUCCAAAGGAAAAAUAAUAAUCAAUCAUAUUAUGAUAAGACUUUAUUUAAUUUUUGUAUUUUGGUUUAAGUCUUAUAUAUUCUUGACACACUUGUAGCAUAACAUAUACGUAUAUUAUACUUAUCACAUCCAUAAGUCAUAAUAAGAAAAAAGUGACAAGAUAAGAAAGAAGAAAAGUAAGGGACAAUCAAUCCAAAAAAUUGGACUAAAAAUUGUUUAGUCCAAUUGAAGUCAUUGAUUUCUCUGUCAUACUUGUCAUAUGAAUGUAAAAUCUAAAUCCUUCAAUUCUAUAUCUUAAUUAGGUUAACUAACUUUAUGCAUGAUAUGACAUUUGAUGCGUCCAUUUAGAACAUCGAAAGGUGCUUUUUCACUCAAUAUUGAAAAUGCACUAUUAAUCAGAUAGUGAUAUAUAUGUUUUCAAUUAAGAUCUAUAAUUUGUAUCUUAAUUUCGUUUGCUUAUACCCUCAUUUAAUGGCUUUAAUUUCAUUGCAUAUAUUUAAAAGUUCAAAUUUGAAUUUCGAUAAAUACCACUAACACUUUUCACACACACAUAUAUGCAAGAGAUUCAUUUGAUCAGUUAGUUGUUUUAUCCAAGAUGGUCAUUUGGUCACCCUUCAUGCAUUGACAUGAUUUAUUGUGAUAGUAAGACUUCUUUUUUAUUUUUUGAAAGUUUUAAAAAAAAUAAAGGGAAAAAAAGUAUAAAAAAAAAAAAUAACAAUAAAAAUAUUUAUGUUUUUAAGAUAAAAAACCAUUUUAUGUUUCAUGAUUGUAAAACAUGUUUUUCUUUUUUCUUUUUAUUGUUUAAGUAAAAAUAAAGCUUUUUUGAAAACCCUUUAUAUCUUCUUCCCUUUCAAAAUAAGAUGUUUAUACUUUGUAUUAUUAAUUUUGAUAUCCAAUUGAAUUAGUAGUUGAAUAAUGCUGCAGCCAGUUGGAAGAAAAUUAAUUAGAACGGUUAUAAAUUAGGUUUGAAAAUGAUGGAUGGCUAGGGUUUGAAAUAUUGAUCCGACUAUAUUUAUUAUUAUUAUUAUUAUUAUUUUUUGUUGCCAGUGAGAGCUGUAUGGGAACCUCCAGUGAGAGCUGAAAGAAGAUGAUGAUGAUGAUGAGAGAACCUUGGUGCUGGAGGGAGCUCUGGUAAUAGAUGCAGCUUCCUUGAAUGUACGUAUAGGGUUGGUUGUCAUAUAAAACCUAUCACCCCAGUCAAGUUUUUGAUCUUCUAACCAGAUUGGGGAAUGCCCGUACCCUUCAACAACCCCGGGCCUCAUCUUGUAUUUCAUUCUCUCUUCCGAGGGAAAUUUGUAAAAUUCUCCUAGGUCAGAUUUCAGUUUCUGCAGGAGUGAAGAGCUGACUCCAUGGUUCACCAACUGUGCAUGAACACACAUGUUAGUUUCUGUGCUUUUAUUUAUUAUUAUCAUUUUCCUAUUUGGAUUUAGUUUUAUAUCUAUAUCUUUUUCUGCAAACGAAAUAUAGGUGUCUGUUUGCACCAACCCUGGGCCUACUUUAUACAAAAUUGUAAUUGACAUCAUGUGCGCCAAAUUAUCGUUUUCUGAAUAAUUUUGUCUGUCGUGCACAUCUUCCUCUUCAUUUGCCUGGACACAUGAAACUAGAUUUCAUGCACAGAAAAACAGCCACUAAAAGUUCAAGUGCAAUAUAGAAAAAUGAUUAAAGAUCAUGGAUUUUGAGAGAAACCUGAAAGAAACCCCAUUCUUUGCAAGUUGAGUGCAACUUCUCUAGCUCAGAAUCUGAGGUUUCAUUGAUAAUCAAAUGUUUCAUGUCAAUAGUAGGGAGUAGUGGCAGGGGAGUGCUGGUUGACAGAAUUGGAGGCUGCGGAUCAUCCAGGAUAAAGGGCUGUGGGACUGCAGGGAUGGGCUUUUUGAUGAGCUCCUGAACACUUUGCACAGGAGCAUCACGAAGCCUUGAAAACUGUGUUGAUGCAUGCCAUUGCUAAGUGACCUAAUUCAGUGACCUAUUGAACCAUCAUAAGGUGGGUAUUUAUAAAGCAAAUAUAUUAAGGAAAUGAAAAGAAAGAAAGAAAGAAACAAACAAACAAACAAAAAAACAAAAAAACAAAAAAGCAAACAAAAACAAAAGCAGCAGCAACAACUAAUGGGCUGUGUGAAGCCAUUGCUAUUACGUUAUACGGGUUAAAUCACUCCAAAAUAUAUUCAGAUGGAUAAAGUGUUGUGUGGAUAUAUUUCUUACUAUAUAAAAUCAUAAUAAUUUCUAUAUAAAAUCUAACAGCUAUUUAAAAUUGCAUUAAAUAGAUAAUGGUUUUUAAAAUAUUUUUAAAUAAUUGAUGAAUUAACUUUUUUCCUUACCUUACCUAGAAUUUAAAACAUUUUGAAAGUAAUUUUUAGAGGCUUAAGAUAAAUCCAUAAAUUUUUAUUAAUCAAAUUUUAAAACCUUUAUAAGUAAUUUUUAUGAACUUAAAGGAAGGGGUAUUUGAUAAAACUUAAUAAUUAUUAAUUAAUAACUCAAGUUAGCUUAAGUUAAAUUAUAUUUAAAUUGUUCAUUUAAAAAUUAUCACAUAAUUUUUACUUUAAGUAUUAAGGUUGUCUAAUAAAAUUAACUUAAAAUUUAUUUUAAAUCAUCAAAUUGAUAUAUUUAUCCUCAUAAAUUAUAAUUAGGAUAAAGGAGGAGGUUGAGCAACAAUGAAGAUUAUAAAAUAGUAAAAGAGAUUGUGGAGGUAAUUAAUUAAGGCAAAUAGAAGUAAAAAUGUAAAAUAAAGAUAUAGACUUAAAAAUAAGAUAAUUUUUUUUACUUAUUAUUUAAAGUUGUUUUUUACUUUAAAAUAUAUCAUUAAGUUAUUUUAUCAAACAUAUUUAAUUUAUUUAAUAACUUGAUUAAGUUAUUAAACCACUUUAAGUUAUUAAAUUGAUUUAUCAAACACUCACUAAACCUAUGUUUUUUUUUAUAUAGAGUCACAAUAAAAGACAUAAAAUAUGUCCAUAUGAUUUGGACAACGUCCACAUAUAAUAUAAGACAAUGCCGGCCAAUAAUUUUUUGCAUGCAUGGCUGUAAAACUGAUAAAGGAAGUAACUUUUGAACUUUAAAAACACCAAAUAAAAUGCAAAUUAAAGCAAUCUAGAAUAUAAAUUCAAAUUGCAAGAGCAAUAAUAGAGAAAAAAAAAAAAAAGGACAUGCAUUAUUUAUGAGGUUUAAUAAUCAAUCCAUUGAUUUUUAAAUAAAAAAUUAUAAAAUUUAAUUGGGAGAACUUUCUCCGUAUAAGAUUAGCCAAAGCCUCUCGGGUUGACCAAAAUCACAAACAUCCUACUAAAAUCAUUCUAAGCCAUUGAGGGUGUUUGAUAAAUUAAUUUAAUAACUCUACCAAAAGGUUUAAGAUUUAUUAAUAGGAUCCUAAGUUUUAACAAAAUCAAUUCAUAAAAUGAGUAAAAAUUUCUAACAUGUAACAAACUGCCAAAUGAUAAAAGACAAAAAUACCUAAAAUAUAACAAACUCUUAAUUGAAUCCAAAACCAACCAACCGUGACUGCUCUUCUUGGAACUUUUCUUAAAUACCCGUACAGGACAAAAGCAAAGCCCUUGUUUAGUGCUUAUUUUCUAUCCUGGAUUUCCAGCAGUAAACCAUGUUAACAACUUGUACCAACAUAUAUUAAGUGACCACUCUUCCCUCGAAUUCGCUUUAAUAAUAUUUACAACUUAUUAAUGAAUACCUGUUGUUUUUUCACAGAUCAAAACCAAAUGGUAGAAAAUUUUCGACAAUGACAUAAAAAAAUUAUACAUAAACACAUGAGAAGAACAGUGAAAGCUUGAAAGAAUUCAUAAGAGACGCGUAAUAGUGUGGACUAAAACAAAAUAUUAGUUUUAUGGUUUGAAAGAAAGCAUACAUAACAGUCAAGCGACCCAAUCUUGCUUUAAAAGUGAGAACAUUAGCGGUUAGUGAAGCCAUGACCUAAACUGCUAUUACAAAUCAAUUUUUUUUUUAAUUAUGAUAUCGUUUUUUUCUUCUCUCUUACCACUUGAACAGGUCUCGUUUGCAUGAUGGAUGGAUGUCGUUUUCUCCUAUUUUAGCAUUAGUUGAGACAUGAAUUGUCUAAGCUUCUUCAGUAUAUGAACGUGAAGAAUUUACAAAUUUAUUGCCAAACCAUGUGGCAGGCUUUGACUAAAUAGUGAAUCAUGUGUGUGUGGUGAUUAAGAUAUACCAGACUAUAGUUAUCAUGUUCAAGACACAAAUGAUAUCAUAUCAUGUUUAUUUUACUUGCAAAUAUGUUAAUGUAAGAACACACUGAUGAGCUCCAUUGAGUGUCUUUUACUCUUCUAUCCAUUACAUAUAGUCUUCACAAGUCAAUCUUCAUUUCAUAAGUUGUUCUCAUCAUGACGUAUAUAUUUAUAAAAAUAUUUUCAAUAACUUUUCUUAUUAUAUAAGAAAUCUAAUUGUAAUGACAUAUGAAUUUAGAAAAUAUUUUAUAUCCUUACUCCAUACCACAAUGUUCUAGUGUGCCACACUCUCCCUAUGGGUCACAAUUUUCUUUGUAUACCACAAUUUUGGUACAUGCUAAAAUCCCCUUCUUGUAUCAUACUGCCUAUGAAAAAACAAUUGACUUUACCUUCAACUAAAAUUCCUUUUUAUAAUCCCCUUUUUGUGUUUUAUUCUCUUUGUUCAUAUACCAUUUAUUGUAAUAACAAAAACUUUAAUGCAAAAGUACACGAAGUUUUAACGUGGUUCAAUUAUCAAUAUAUACAUCUACAAAAGAUCUUAUACAUCGAUAUCUACAUGAAGUGUUGUCCUCUCUAGAUGCUUAGAGUGGUUAUAACCAAAUCCCUAUGCACCUUGACAACAGGGAAAAAAUGGCUUUCAUCACUACACAAGGACUGUAUUGCUACAAAGUAAUGCCCUUCGGAUAAAAAAACAUUAGGGCUACUUUCCAAUGAAUGACGACUUGUGUCUUUAAGGAGCAACUUGGGAAACAAGUUGAGGUUUAUGUGGAUGAUUUUUUGGUUAAAAGUAAAAAGGCAAACCAACAUCCCUAAUAUUUGAUAGAGGUGUUCACUACAUUGCAUAAGUUCGAGAUCAAGUUAAAUUCAACCAACUCCACCUUCAAUGCGACCAAUGGAAAAUUCUUAGGGCAUCUUGUUAUCAGAAGGGGCAUUGAAGCUAACCUUGAUCAAAUUCUAGCCAUACAAAACAUGAACAUGCCAACCACCCAAAAAAAUGGCAAGAGCUAGCAAGCAAGUUGGCAGCUUUGCCUCACUUUAUUUCUUACUCAACAUUUUGGUGUAAACCUAUCUUCACCUUAUUAAAAAAGAAGAAAAACAUAAAUUGGGACCAAGAAUGCACCCAUUCCUUCAAGCAACUUAAAGAACAUUUGACACAUCCCCUAAUCCUACCAACCCUAUAACCUGGUGAGAUUCUUUAUAUCUACUCGGCAAUCUCCAAGCAAACGGUUAGUAUUGUUUUGUUUCGAAAUGAAAAAAGUGAUGAGAAACCCAUUUAUUAUGCGAGUAAAGCACUGUCGGAAGCACCCCAAAGUAAGAGAUGAUACGACUAAAAUCCUUCACAGUAAAAAAAUCAAGAAAAAAAUUCAAUAGAAGUUUAUUUUGAUUGCAAAAUUGAUAAACAAAAAAAAGAUUUUUUAUUUUUUAUCUAGGGUGCACACAAAACAUUGUCAAGUGAGAAAAUGGUUGUGGAUGAAUCUAGUAUGAUAGAACCGACAUGAGUUAUAGGAAUGUCAUUACCAUCGUCAAUCAUAAUGUCCUCAUUACCACCAUAUUCAAAGUGUAGUGAGAAAUUUUGAAAAUCAAAAGUGAUGUGGUGAGAGGCACCUGAGUCAACCAUCUAAGUGCUAUGGUCUCCAGCUUGAUCACUAGCCAUGUAAUUAGCUUGAGGUGAGAAGCUUGGUGGUGGUCGUGAACGACAUACCUUGGUACUGUGGCUAAUUUUGUUACAUAGUUGACAGAUAAUUCGACAUUGAUUGUUUCCAUUGUUGGGAUGCCAAGAAUGCUAUGGAAUUGAAAUGCUGUUGGGAAUGGAGAUUGUCUUAAUUGGAGAAUCUAUGAUCACCUUGAAUAGUUCUUUUUCACUAAUUGUCAAAGAUAUUACGUUGCCAAAAUCAUUGGUUGACCCUUUGUUGUUGAAAUUGCCUCUAAGAUGUCUACUAGAUUUUUCACUAUUUCUUUUAUGAUUAGAGAAUUUUUUAUGAAGCUGAGUAGUGAUUGGUGGAGUUUCCUUGCUGGUGUCAUCUUGCUUCAAAAGAGUUUUUUUUUAUCCUAUAGUUUGUUAUGAAAUUCUUCAAAUGCAACUGGUGAGUCUUUGGCUCGAAUGGCAACACUAAUUUCUUUAAAAUCAUUGUCUAGCCUAUUAAGAACAUGGAAGAUGAUUUCAUCUUCACUGAGAGGAUAGCCCAUGCAAGCAAGAUCAUCAACAAUGAUUUUGAUGGUUUGCAUGUAUUUAGCAAGGAAUUGAGAACCCUUUGUUAUCUUCAUAAGAAUAUUACGUAAAUUGAGCAUUCUAGUAUGUGAUCGGUUUGCAAAAGUGGUCUCCAGUUUCUGCUAUGCUUCAUGAGAAGUUGUUGCAGAGUAGAUAAGUGAGGCAACAACCAAUGUGACUGAUGCAAGAAUGGCAUAGAGAAUGAGACGAUUUUGUUUAUUUCCAUAACUUGCACUUGGGGUUGGAGAUUGACGUUGUGGAACCAGAUUACAGGAUGGUUUAGGGAGCAUAAGGAGUUAUGCCAUCAAGGAAACCUAAUAGAUCAUAUCCAAAUAGAAGAUUAGUGAACUGAGCUCUCCAAGAUGCAUAAUUCAUUUUGAUCAUAACCAAAUUGAUGCAUUUGACAUAUUAAAUCCUUUCUUUACUUUGAUACUAAAUUUUGAUAAAGAAUUAAGAUGAUAUGAUUAAAUACAUAAAAGAUAGAUAGGAAGCAUUUAAUUAAAGUUAUUUGUUUAAUCACUCUAUUUGUUAGCAAAAUAAUAGUAAAUCAAGUAAUUGACAAGACUCAAUCAAGUAAUAGACAUGAAUUUGGCCCUAGGAUCCUAAAUAGUCUCUCCCUUAAAAUAGAUGAUCGAUCAUAGUGCUAAAGGUAUGACCUCAAUCUAGAGAAGAUAUACUUAAAGAUUUCUUAAGUCUAAAUGAAUUUAAAGGCACAAUUAUGAUAUUUCACAACAAGAAAAUGAAGUUAUAGUCACAAAGUUUUAAAAAGGGCCAAACAAAAUCACAACUAAGGAUUUCAUAUAGUUCCAAAUGUAAGAAUUUUGUUUUUCAAUUAGCAUAGAAGUACCAAUUUUUUGUUUUUUUAAGAAAUUUUUAAUUAGGUUGAUAAUUAUUAAUUAAUUCAAAAUUUUCAAUCGCACAAAAAACGUAAGUUAUACUUGUUUCAGAAAAUAAUGAAAAGACAUGGAAGGAGUAAAAGCAGAAAUCCUCAAGGACAUGGCAGAAAAGAUACAUCUAGAGGAAAACCAAAGUAUAUAAAAAAAUAUGACAUGUUAUCACUGCAACAAGCUAGGUCACCUGAAGAAAGAGUGUAGGAUCUAGAAAAGGGAACAAAAUGAAUGGAAGAAAAAUGAAAACUAAACUAAUACACAAUAGCCGCAGAAGGUGAUGUUGUCAUUGUCUGUGAUGAUAGUUGAUUGAGUCUUGUAUGCUAGGAGAGUGAUUAGGUGACUGAUAGCUCAGAAGAAGAUUCACCCUUUUUCUUUCUUCUGGUUCUUCAUUGAGCAAACUGCAUGUCCUUAACCAUCUCCAUGGUUAGCUUCCCAUCUAGAGCUGAAUUGCUUAAUGGAACCACCAAAGUAUCCUAACUAUUAGGCAAGGAUCUGAGAUGUAACAGUGUUAGUUACUCAUCAUAAACAUCAGCUUUGGUCUCUUUAGAAAUAUGAUGAAAAACAUUGUGUCAACCCACUAUUUGAUUGUAGCAACAACCUUCGUAUGCAAUAUUUCCCGAUCAUCAUCACUCAUUCCUUUUGGUUUUGUCAUGCCUUUAACAAGCUUAAACAAAUCUUUACAAUACAACAGAUCCCACAUUUUCCAUUUCCAAAUAGAAUAAUUCGACGACAUUAAUUUUAUCAUCCCAAACAAAUUUUGCUACUCCAUUUCAACACACAAUUCUAGCCAACCUAGCUCUAAUACCACUUGUUUGGAAAACUACUUAUAAUGGUACCUAGCAACAGAAACCUUUUCCCUCUUUGUGUGAUUAAAAUGAGAUUUCAAAUAAAUUCUAGCAAAACCAAUAUCAUAAAAUAUGUCAACCAAAAGCAACACAAUAAUAAUAAAUAAUACAGACACAAAUAAGAUACAGAUUUUUACAUGGAAAACCCUUCAAUGUGAAGGAAAAACGAUAGGGUCAUAGUACGCUGUCGACUUCCACCAUGUGAAAACAAUGGGUUUACAAAGUUUCUCUCUAGAUAAGACUAGAGGCUCACAAUCAUCAAGAAAUACAUCAUUCUUGACUAACAAUAAUCUUCAUCAUCAAUAAAGAUGGAUAUCUUAAAAUUACACCAAUAGUAAAGUGUAGAUCUCAUUAAGUGGGUAUUUUGGGCAAACACCUUAGAGAGAUCAAAUGGAGAAUCAAGCCCAAUAAAAGUGAGAAACUCAUCACAUGGAUUCACCACAUCAAAUUUGAGCUAAAACCAACAUCGUUUCACUACCUAAUCGUCUUGCACAAGUUUCACACAAACCCCAUUUUUCUCUCCCACUCUCUCUGCUUCUCUUUCUCUAUAUCAUGCACUCCCCUCCUUUUUUUUAAAGGCAAUUGGGCUAAAGCCCAUUUAUGAGUCCAACCCACACAUGGGACAAACAACCUAACAUUGAAAACACCUUUCAAACAGAGCCUAACUCUUUCUCUUCAAAUGUGUGCAGUAAAUUUGCAAAGUAGUUAUGAUAUUUCAUUUCCAACAACAAAUUAACCAUGCAAACAAAAUACUAAUUUUAUUUAGGGCUAAUUACUACUUUUGGUUCCCUUUAAUUUUGAAAUCUAAAUAUACAAUGAGAGUUGCUAUUGCACAAUAACCAGUAUGGGCUCUUGGGACAAAUCAUGCACUAAGAAAACAGAUAACGGCUUUGCAUAUAAAUACAUGUUCAUGGGGAGGUGCAUAAAUAAUCAUUUUAGUUGGCAAGAUGGAGAUUAAUGGGCAUUUCUUUUUGACAAAUGAAAAGGAAAUGAAAGAGAGUAUAUAAUAGCUUCCUAAAAUUACGUAUCAAGCAUAUGAAAAGUGAGGACUUGAUGGAAGUACUCCUCGGGGACACAGCCACGUGAGCUAAAGAAAGAUAUUAAAUCUAUGGUUUGAAAGAAAAGGAAGAAUAUAUGGCAGUCAAGGGAAGUUACGUUUCAUUAAAAGUGAUAUAUACGGCACAUCGCUUGAACAGGUCUUGAUUGCAUAAUGGAUGAUGAUGGACGUCGUUUUCUUCUACUUCCGUGUUACACAAGGCAAGAAUUUUCUAAGCUUCUUAUAAACGUGCUUUAUUGCCAAUUACUUUAUGCAUAAAAAGGGACUAUGAGGUUUGACUAAUUAAAAUAGGUAUAUUUUAUAUGAAUUCCUGACUAAGACAGGCCAUUCUCCAAGGGACAUGUUUAAAAUUCACUUAAAUAAUAAAGCAUCAUCAAUGAUGACAGGUUCCAGAUUGGAAAUCCACCGAAAGGAUCGUGAGGAUAAUAUUGUUGUUUAAAAGUUUUCAAUCAGACGAGCACAUCUUGCAGGCAUGGGCUUGACAGCAAAUCCUACAUAUGAUCGGAGUAAAAAUUAUAUGCAACUGAAAGGCAUUAAUCCCAUACACAGGUCUCGAUUCAUUCGAAUCAAGGAAAUCAGCCUCCUGUUGAAAGCGAACCAGCUGUAAAAUUGAAUCUAAAUUCUCUCAAUUCUCUGGUUGGAUUUUAAGUAAUAAUAAAGAAAGAUGAAAAUAUAAAUAAUCAUAAAUAUAUCUAUAUUUGAAUUUUAUAGAUAUAUCAAAGAUAUAUUGAUAGAUAUUUUUAAUACAAAAUAUCAAUAAAUUAAAAAUUCAUUGAAAUGUAAUAAAAAAAACUCUUAAAAAUAAAAUAAAAAGUGUAAUGUAUAUUUUUAAAUUAUUUUAUUAAAAAAAUUGAUAUAUGUAUGAUAUGAUUUGUAAUAUUAAAUUUAAUUAUAUCAUAUUGGUCGAUACAAAAUAUGAAUUUUGUAAGUAUACACUUAUUAUAAAAUUAAAUUAUCGUAAAUAUACUAAUUAUGUAAUUCAAAUAUAUUGCUAUACUAAGUUAAUUUACUUACAUAUAUUGAAAACAUAUUAAUUAAUUAUAAAAAUAUAUUAAUUUAAAUUUAAUGUUAUACUAAUUUAAAAAUGUAAUAAGUUAAUUUAUUCUCAAUUGGCUAUUAUUAUAGUUGAAUAUUAAAAUAAAAUUAAAUCAUUAAUUUAAAACUAAAUUAUUGUAAAUGUACUAAUUAUAUUAUUUAAAUGUAUUUAUGAUUUUUAUUUAAAAAUAUUGGUACAUUUUGACUCAAAAUAUUUUUAUUUAAAAAUAUUGAUAAUUUUAUUUAUGAUUUUAUAUUUGUUUUAUAUUUAAUUAGUAUACAAAAUAGAUUAUAAGAUAAUUAAAAUUAAUUUAUUUAUAAUAAUUUAAUUUUUUAAUGAUAUAUUUGAUAUACCACUAAAAUUUUAAUGAUUUUCUUUUUUAUCUAGAUUUAAUUUUUGCUUGUAUCACCGUUAUAUGUGUGAUUAUCGAUAUAUUAUUGAUAUUUUCAUCAGCUGAUAUAUCAAUUUUAUCUCAUAUGUAAUAUAUUGAACAUAUAUUGUCCAUAUAUCUCCAUAUUCUUUGUAAUGAAAACGUGAUAAUUUAGUUAGUGAAAAGGACGCAACUAGUCAUCUUAGUCCAUCCAAAAACUAUUGAGCCGGAAAUGAUAACCAUUAAUUUCCCUAUGACAAGUGUCAUGCUGACAUGAAUUUUGAGCUUAUCUUAAUUUGGUUUUGCCGGUACAUCCACGAUGGGUGCAUUGACUUGACUAGCAAGCUCACUGGACCACUCCAUUUCUAUGAUAUAAAAAUCAAAGGAGGUUCCUAAACUGACUGACUUGUUACUAAUUUGUAUUUUCCCAUCAGAUUCUAAUUAAGUAUUUUACUCCGGAUGGCAUUUGGUCACCAACAAAUUCAUCUCUCAAGAACACUUAACCUUGCUUUCUUUGUCCAACUCCUGAUUAGUCAAGGAACCCAGAUUUUCAAAUAUUAAUUUUUUGUGAUAUUUCACUCUCUUUUUCCUCACGUGAUUGAAAAUGGGCUUGUUUGGACUUUGGAAAAGGAUUGAAGGGUUGCAUAUGAUAAAAGUUUAGUUGAAUAUAUGUCGAACAGAAACAAUGUCUAUGUAGACAGAGAAAGAGGGAAGGAGAAGAAAGAUGGAUUUUUUUUUUAGUAUUUAGUUGUUGUCUUUAAGAUGACUAAUUUAAGACAAUUACACACAGGUUAAGAGUGAAUUUGAAUUUUUAAGUUGAGUUUAGGUAUUAUCUUACCUCACUCCACCGAUAUUGAUUAUAAAUAUAUUUAAAUAAAAAAUAAUUUAAUUUAAUUCAAUUUUUUAUUAUUCUAUUUUUAAUAUAAAUAAAUAAAAUUUAGUUAUUUAUAAAUUAUAUUUUAUUUAUAAGUUAUAUUUAACUUUAAUAUAAUUUAAAUUUUAAAAAAUAAUAAUUAAAAAAUAAAGGGUGGAGUAGGUGUGGAAAAUCCCCCUACUCUUUUGCUCUAAAUUUUCUCCAUCUACAAAUUUUUAUUUGGACAAAGAUGAAAAUAAAAAUAAAUAAUCAAGAUAAGUUAGGAUAAUAGUGACUUCCAAAACCCACUUUCACUAUCAAAUUAAUUUUGGAGGAGAAACAUCUAUAUAUACAUAUAUCGAGAAGGUUCAUAUAGAGGAUAUAUAAAACGAUAUAUGUAUGAUGUAAUUAUCCCACAUUUAAUCAAACUUAUAUAUAUAUUAUAUGUGGUAAUAACAUCCAUCAAUUAAUAAAACUUAUUUGUUUAUUUAUUUAUUAUUAUUAUUCUAAAAAUGAUGUUAGAUGAACAAAACGUGCAUGGAUAAGUGUGUCAUAUAUGACACUAUUUUUUAUUUAGAGUAAAUUGUAGGAACCUUCUCAUAGGUGACAUUGCACUUAUAAUUUUGGGAUAUUGAACUGGUCUUUCUGGAGGUCUUGAUAAAAAUAUAAUAUGGUUAUUGAUGGAUGUUAACGUACCCUCUACUUAUUAACAGAAUCAUGAUUAAUGUCACUCUCAAAUAUUUACAAAAUACAUAUUUUAAAUUAAUUUUAAUAAAAAUCAAAUUACUUUAAUUAACAUUAACUUAUUUUUCAAUCCAUAAUAAUCAUCUUAAUUAGUGUAGAUGAAGUAUUGGGGUUUAGAAAACUCUUGAAACCCAUAAAAACGGGUUUCACAUAUUUUAUGUUUGAUGAUGUCGAUUUUAAAACUCAUCAAAAUCCUUUUGUUUUUAUGGACUUUAAUGUAUGUAUGUAUGUUUCAAAUGGGGAAUUGGGAAUUGCAACUUCAACUUUGGUUAAAACAAAAAAAUGGGGAAGUAUAACAUAUUGAUAGGAGAUACAUAUUGAUAGGAGAUACAACCCCGGAGAAGACAAAAAAAAAAAAAAAAAUGGAGUAAGAUGAAAAAUAAUUAAGUGAAAAUAAUAAUUGAAGGAGGAGAGAUAAACAAAAGUACCAAAAGAAAAUAAUAAGAGGUAUUACAUUAACUUUCAUAUUAUAUAAAUAUAUUUUAGAGUGUGUUUGAUAGUAAUUUUAUUAAAUAUUUCUAUUUUUUUUAAUAUUUAAAUAAUAAAAGAUUUUAAAUAUUAAAAAUAUUAUAAAUAUUUUUAAAAAUUUUUACACUCUUAAUAAAGAAUUUAAAAUGUUUGAAUGAUAUGCAUUACGGGGUUUCUAUUAGUAAAUACUUCAAAUCCAUCAAAAACAUUUCGUUGGGAUCACUCCAAUAAAAUUCUUUAUUUUGAUUUGUACUACGCGCCUUCACUCUAUUACCACACCUUUUUGGUUCCUUUUGUCUUUUGACUUCCACCUUGUUUCCAAUAGUUACAAAUUGCGGCCUGGAUCAUUUAACCUAGGAUUUUAUUAUAGGACUUUCCAAAUUAGCCAUCCAUCUAGCGCCAACCUCUAAACUUGGCAUCACAUAUGACGAUAUGACAUUGUUUCAGGAACACACAUGAUUCAUUAUUAUUAUUAUUAUUAUUUUUAUUUAGUCAAAAACCUGCCACACCUGCCACUUGGUUUGACAAUAAAUUUGUAAAUUCCGCACAUUUAUAUGGGAAGAAGCUUAGAAAAUUCAUGCCUCAACUAAGACUUAAAUAGGAGAAUAUGACAUCCGUCCAUCAUGUAACCAAGACCCCUUCAAGGGGUAAUUAUGAGAGGAAAAAAAUGAUUUUUUAUUUUAUUUUGUUGUUUAUGAUGUUAUAAUUAAAAAUCUUUUUGAUUUGUAAUAGCAAUUUUGGUCUUGGCUUGACUAACUGCUAAUUUGUUGUACCAGUUGAAACGUAAACAUUAACAAAAUAACACAAAAAUAAAAUAAAUUAUAUAUAAAGAUAUAUAAAGUUUUAACCUAAUUUGAUCAAUCAUGUCUAUUUUUACGGAUGAAAAAUAUCAUUUCAUUAUGUAAUUAAAAAUAUAUUAUAAAGAUGAAUCCAAAUACAAGUAUUAGAUCCCAAAACAUUCGAUAUUUCCUCACUCUUUAUAUUUUAACAUUGAAUUAUAAACCAUUUUAUUCCACCAUGUGUUUCUUAUUUUUCCUUAUAUCUUGAUGAGCCACCUUGUUCCAUCGAGUGUCUCUUGUUAAUCUCUGUCCUCUCUCAUAAUUUUUUUUCCUUUUAUAACUUAAAAUAUUUAUAAAAAUAUUUCUAUUAACUUUUCUCAUUCUAUAAAAAAUUUAAUUACAAUUAUGAAUAAACUUAACAAAUAUUUUAUAUAAUCAUUCGUCCAUAGUGUAACCAAGACCCCUUCAAGAGGUAAUUAUGAGAGAAAAAAUUAUUUUUAUUUUAUUUUAUUGUUUAUGAUGUUGUAAUUAAAAAUCAUUUUGAUUUGUAGUAGCAAUUUUGGUCUUGGCUUGACUGACCGCUAAUUUGUUGUACUAGUUGAAAUAUAAACAUUAACAAAAUAUAUAACACAAAAAUAAAAUAAAUCACAUAUAAAUGUACAUAAAGUUUUAGCCCAAUUUGACCAAACAUGUCUAUUUUCACGGAUGAAAAAUAUCGUUUCAUUAUGUAAUAAAAAAAUUAUAAAGAUGAAUCCAAAUAUGAGUAUUGGAUCCCAAAACAUCCGAUAUUUUCUCACUCUUUAUAUUUCAACCUUGAACCAUGAACCAUUUUAUUCCACCAUGUGUUUCUUAUUUUUCCUCAUAUUUAUAUCUUGAUGAGGCAUCUUGUUCCAUCAAGUAUCUCUUGUUCAUCCUUGUCCUUUCUCUUAACUUUUUUUUUUUAUGACAUAAAAUAUUUAUAUUAACUUUUCUUAUUUUAUAAGAAAUCUAAUUACAAUUAUAAAUAAACUUAACAAAUAUUUUAUAUAAUCAUCUUUUUACAAAAAGAAAUAUGUUUCAAUUAAAAAUUUGAGAAAGUUUGAAACAUAAUAAAUAAAACAUUGGGUCAUUUGACUAUUAUAUAUGUUUUAUUUUUUAACCAUAGAAUGAAUAUUUUGCUUUAGUCCACACCAUUAUGCGGCUCUUGUGGCAUGCGUUUGCGUAUAAUUUUGGUAUGUCAUUUGCUGAGAUUUGUCUGCCAUUUGCUUUUGAUUUGUCAAAAAAAAAAAUAUAUAACAGAUAUUCACUGAUAUAUAUAUGUUGCUAAAUAAAAACCAUUAGCAUGUCAGCCUGGUAAACAAUACUAUUAAUGCCAAAUUAGAUGAAAGAGUGGUCUCUUAAUCUAUAUCGGAAAAGUUGUCUACAUGGUUUAUUUUUGGAAAGAACUAAACACGAGCAUGGCAUUUGUCAUGAGGGCAUUUAAGAAAAGUUCGAAAAAGAUCUCCCACUUCUUUGACAUGUUUUACAUACUUGGAAAAAAAAAUUUCUUGAGCACCAGGUCUUACAUUUCGACAAGGACCAUGUUCAUCAUUGACGGAUAUAUUUUCUGAAUUUUUGUUUUUUAUUAUAUAGAAAGUAUAAAUUUAUUGUUUUUUCAAAUUAUUUCUAAAAUUUUUAAAAUUUAAAGUAAUAAACAAAAAAAUUUAACAAAUUUUGAAAGUUAUUAUCUCGUAAAAAUCUUGUAUUUUAUUUUUAAAAGCAGAUGAAAGUAGUAAAUAUACGCAAACAACACCUUAUGCUUCUCGAAAUAUUUUGGAGUAGCCUAGAAGUUAUAACGUGAAUAACAAUGGUUUGACACGAUUCAAUUGUUGUUGCUUUUGUUUUUGUUUGUUUGUUUGUUUUAUUUAUGUAUUUUAUUUUUAUUUUUAUUUUUUCCCCUCUCCCUUAAGUAUAUUUGCUUUAUAAAUACCCACCUUAAGAUGGUUCAAUGGGUCACUGAAAUUUGCUCAAUCAACAAUGGCAUCAACACAGUUUUCAAGCAUUCGUGCUGCUCCGGUACAAAGUGUUCAGGAGCUCAUCAAAGAGCCCAUCCCUGCAGUCCCACAGCCCUUUAUCCUGGAUGAUCCGCAGCCUCCAAUCCUCUCAGCCAGCACUCCCUUGCCACAACUCCCCACCAUUGACAUGAAACAUUUAAUUAUGAGUGAAACGGCAGGUUCUGAGCUGGAGAAGUUGCACUCAACUUGCAAGGAAUGGGGUUUCUUUCAGGUUUCUCUCAAAAUCAAUAAUCUUUAAUCACUUUUCUUUAAGUUCUUGAACUCUUAGAGGCUGUUUUGUUGUGCAUGAAGUCUGGUUUCCAUGUGUCCAGGCAAAUGAAGAGGACGAUGUAUGGGGCGACUGACAAAAUUAUUCAGAAAUUAAUAAUUUAGCAUAUAUGAUGUCCAAUACAAAUUUGUAUAAAGUAGACCUAGGGUUCGUGCAAACAGAUCCCUAUAAUCCAUUUGACUUUGCAUGACAUAAAUAUAGAUAUUAAAGUAAAUCCAAUAUGAAAAAAAUAAUAAUAAAUAACAAUAUACAGAAACUAACAUGUGUGUUCAUGAUUGCGCAGUUGGUGAACCAUGGAGUCAGCUCUUCAUUCAUGGAGAAACUGAAAUCGGAGAUCGGAGAAUUUUACAAACUUCCCUUGGAAGAGAGAAUGAAAUACAAGAUGAGGCCUGGUGAUGUUGAAGGGUACGGGCUUUCUCCAAUCCGGUCAGAAGAUCAAAAACUUGACUGGGGUGAUAGGUUUUAUAUGACAACCAACCCUAUACAUACAAGGAAGCCGUAUCUAUUACCAGAGCUCCCUCCAUCGCUAAGGUUCUGUCUCAUCAUCAUCAUCAUCUUCUUCUUCUUCUUCUUCUUCUUCUUCUUUCAGCUCUAUAUAUGUUUUCUUCUUUAACUGCAGGGAUAGCUUGGAAUGCUACUUAGCGGAGUUGCAGAAACUGGUGAUGAUGCUUCUAGGGUUUAUGGCCAAAGCUCUAAAGUUGGAGAAAGGAGAGAUGGAAGAGUUGUUUGAGGAUGGGAUGCAAUCAGUGAGGAUGACUUACUAUCCUCCAUGCCCACAACCAGAGCUGGUUAUGGGGCUUACGCCUCACUCUGAUGCUACCGGCAUCACCAUCCUUCUCCAGAUUAAUGGAGUGGAUGGUCUCCAAAUUAAAAAGGAUGGGGUUUGGAUUCCCGUGAGCUUCCUUCCAGAUGCACUUGUUGUGAAUGUAGGAGACAUUCUUGAGGUUUCCCCACAGACUCCUUUCUCUGUUUCAGAAAAUAAAAUAAAAUAAACUAGAAAAUGCAUGCUAAAUGGAAUCCCCCAUAUACGGUUUUCAAACUUAAUUUUUUUUGUGUUUUAAUUAUUAGAACAUAAGCUUCCACCAUCGAUGACAAUAAUUUUCCUGUGUUUGAUUGUACUCUACAAAUAACAAAAGAAAAUAAAAUAUAAUUAAAAUUAAUUAAAAAUUAAAACAUUUUUCAAAUUAUUUAUUCUUUAUAUUAAAUAUUUAAAAUAAGUGAAAUAAAUUUGAAGUGAUAUAUAAAAUUAAUUUAUUGAUUUUAUUUUUUAUUAUUUUUAUUUUCCCUCUCAAUUUUCUCUUUCUUGUAAAAAAGGAAAACAAAAGAAAGAAAAUAAAAGAUACACACAACACUAAACAAUAAGUAGAACUCAAGGAAAAAUGCCCCUUUUUUAACCAACUGCCGCGUCCUCCUAUUUUGCAGAUUCUGAGCAACGGAGUGUACACUAGCAUAGAGCACCGGGCAACAGUAAAUGCAGCAAAAGAGAGGAUCUCCAUUGCCAUGUUCUUCAACCCCAAAUCCUCAGCUCAGAUUAAACCCGCCGCCAGUCUGAUAAAUCCUCAAAAUCCUCCACUGUUCAAACAAGUAGGGAUGGAAAAAUACUUCAAAGAUUUCUUCUCCCGUAAGCUGGAUGGAAAAUCAUAUUUAGAGCAUAUGAAGAUAAAAAAUGAGGAAGCAUAAAGUACCUGAAGCCCUGCUACAUUCAUAUGGUUAUGUUUAAGUAUGGUAUGGUUUGGUAGUUGCAUGGAUCCAAGAAAUAUUAUAGCUUUGAGGUUGGUAGUACCGUUCCUAUCUCAUUACGUACACUUAUCGAAUAAGUUCUGUAAAAUAA
Molecule: long non-coding RNA, 60999 nt
Filed under: Vitis vinifera (wine grape)
Lineage: Eukaryota; Viridiplantae; Streptophyta; Magnoliopsida; Vitales; Vitaceae
Description: long non-coding RNA (VVIN_LNC003139)
Rfam family: Plant small nucleolar RNA R71 (bases 10572-10678)
Source: RNAcentral